UCUAAACCUAGGUCACUAACAUUUUUUUUCUUAGGUAUUAUUUGAUUCGAGAAUAAGUAAAAAGUGACUAUUUUAGAGAUAGAUAUAAAUUAAGGUAUAUAAGCGGGGAUUAGAUCAAUUUUGUGUUUGGAUAAAAAUUGGGUUAUUUCUGGAAAUAAAAAAAAUAACGUUUGGUUAGAUAAGAUGGAAUAAGAAAGAUAAUAGGUUUUAUAAAUAAAAAAUAAUAAUAUUAUCCUUUUAUUAUAUUUGAAUUUAAAUUUUUAAAAUUUUAAAUAUAUAUUUUUAAAUUUAAAAUUUUAACUUUGAAAUUUCAAAUUUUGAAAUUUAAAAUCUCAAAUUUUAAAUUCAAAAUUUUAAAUUUUAAAUUUCAAACUUUAAAUUUAAGAUCAAAUUUAAAUUUGAAAAAUAUAAAAUAUAAAAUUUUAAAUUUCAAAAUUAAAAUAUCAAAAUUUAAUUUUAAAAUUUAAAAUUUAAAAUUAUAAACUUUAAUUUUGAGAUUAUAAAUUAUAAAUUUUAAAAAUUUAAAUUUUUAAUUUUUAAAAUAAGAAUAGGGAUGGGAACAAUUAAUAAAAAUAAUUUAUUAUAAUAAAUUUAUAAAUUUUUUUAAAAUUCUACUUAAACUUAAAUUUAAUAAAAAGAAUUUAUUAUAAUAUUUAAAUAUAAUUUACUAUAAAUUUUAUUAUAAUAUUUAAAUAUAAAUAAUAUGUAUUAAUAUAGUACAAUUAAUAAUUUUAUAAUAAAAUAAUGUAUUAUAAUAUAUAACAUAAUAUAUUUAUAUAAUUUAGUUUUAAUUCAAUUUAUAAUUUUAAUUAAGUUUGAAAUUAAGUAUUGAAGUAGUGCUAUUCCACCAAAAUGGUGGAAUAGCAAAUCCCUUGUUAUUCCGGAAUAACCAGGAAUAGCAAGAUUUGAUCGGAAUAAAAUAUUCCAACUAAAUUUCAUCCCGUUUGGCGGAAUAGCGGGGAUAACUUUCGUUAUGCCCGCUUAUCCCCCAACCAUAUAUACUAGACAUUUAUUCUAUCGGGCCUAAUGUCCAACUUUAAUAAUUAAAUCAGGGGAUUUCAUAACCAUUCUGACUAAUUUGGGCUACUGGGCCUAUUAUAUUUGCAGAUCUCAUCCUUACUGUACUUUUAAAAGUUUUUUUUUUGGUUUCCAUUUGGUAAUACUGAUCUCCAGUAGAGCGCAUGACAAAUAAAGUAAUUUUAAAGUUUGUUACCACGAGUGCGCAAACAGAAAUAAAAACGCGGAACGUAAAGUAAGCAAACAACAAAUAGAAAAAAAUAAAUAAAUAUAAAAAUUUACAUGAAAAUUUUUUUGCAGAAAAAAACACUACGGGCCAAGAAGAAAAGAGCUUCACUAUGAAAAAAAGAGUACAAUAUUUUGGAGAUUACAAACGCUGCAUUACGUCUAGGGUAAAAGAGAAAAAGAAAAUUUCUUAGUAGGUUCUUUAUUAUCGGAUCAGAUCUGUACCACGGGGUGCGGAGUCCCCUGCACUCUCCGGUAGAUAUCAGUGGUGGGUUAUGAGCUCAAACCACCAUACACACCCAUUUUUUUUUCACAAUUCACUUUUUCUAAAAAUCUAUUCGCACCACGGAAUUGUCACCAAAUCGGGAGUCCAAAAUCAAAAUCGAUAACCAAAUUUCGAGACAUCUCUAACAAGUUCUUGCUACACAUGAAGCAAUAAUUAGAUUCUAAGACUUAGUUGCUAAAAUUCUAAUUAGGUACUUUUCCUAUGCAGAUUGCACAACACUGCAUCUCAUCAUAGACCAAAUAAGCUCUUAGUGUGCUCCAGUAAUCUCGAGCCGCAUUCAUAGUUACAUUAGAAUUCUUCGAUUUUUUUUUUUUAGUUAAUUGCAUACAACUCCUUAUAAAUAUAGCGGAUUGUAAAUAUAUUCCUACAAAAUUCAACUUUUUUAUGUUAUUUCUGAAAAAAUUCUAAUAUUUUUAAAUAUGCCUAUACUGUUAGGAUCCGCUAAAAAAAUUUAGUUAACUAUAGUUAAAAUACUUAAUCUUAUUUAAUCAAGGAGAUAAAUUGAUAUUUUUAUCCUUCUUAUAGUAUAUAUUCUUCUCUCAAUCAAAACUCUAAUAUUGAAAACUCUUCUUCCUCUUCCUCGUUCUCUCUUCCCUUCGUACUAGUUUCGAACUUGUAAGUAGAAUUUCUCCGUCUUCAUUUAUCUACGAUGCGUGUUGUUUCGCCUAUGUCAAAUGCUUAUUGCUUCUUCAUUCAAUUUACUCUAUAGUUUUUUUUUUCUUAUUUUGCUCAAAAAAGGAUUUUUAAAAGAAAAAGUGAGUGAAGAGAUUAAAAUAAUGGUGAAUUGAGUUGGGUUUAAAAAGGACAAAGAUGAUAAUUGAAAAUUUUGUUGGGAGAUAUUUCUACACAAUCAUAGUAAUUGAGGCUUUUGGAAGAAUAUAUAUGCAUGUGAUGACAAAAUUAACAAUUUUACUUAUCUGUUGUUAAAAAAUAAACAACGCUUUAAAAUUAACAAACCAAAAGGACACCGACUAUCCCUAGCGCAAGUGGCAAAGGGCUUCUUGGUUGGUACCCAAGAUCCAAGUUCGAAUCCUAAUUGAUUCACAUUUCCAACUAAGUUUAUUUCUAAAUGAAAUAAACGAAGUUAAACUUUAUAAAAAUAUAUUUAUAAUUUACUAUAUUUAUAGUGCAGUUAACCCUUCUUUUUUUUUUUUUUGACUGUACAAUUAUUUUGCAAAAUUUACAAAUGUUCUCGCUGGGGAGGAGACGUCGCAUUCUUCUCCAGCCUUGUAUGUCACUAGUUGUCCCUUUGUCCCUUCUCAGUGCAAAGCUAAAGCUUCAUGAUGCCCUCUCCUUUAUGAGCUCACCAUGUAGGUGGACACUGUUGAGCCACUACUUUAACAUGGAAAAAUAUCAGAGGCGCCAUUAAUUGAUCUUCUUUUGGUGAAGAAGACACGUAAAAAACCUGAGGUGGGGGAGUUUCUAAAUUUUAACCUGCGCUCUUUAUCAUUGACCGCUCAAUUUUUAUUCACUACUUAUAACAGUUAACACCAGUGGUAGUUUUGGUGAAACUUGGUACUAUUCUCCUCUACGGGCCAAUUCGUACUGUGUUCAGUGUGUUGGCGCGCAUCGAAAAGAAUAUACCUUUUUAUACCUUUUUACUCGAUAUAUUUGUUGAUACUUUUCUUCUCCAUAGGCCAAUUUGUACUGUGUUGGUGCAUAUCGGAAAGAAUAAAUAUCUUUCUAUGAUAAUUGUACGUGCAAAUGUACGUAAUAAUUAUUUUACUUUAUUUAAAAUUAAUAUAAACUUAUAUAAUUUAUUUAUUUAAAAAUUUGCAAUAAAAAUUAUUAUUUUAAAAAUUUAUAUGUUACAUUUUAUUAAAAAAAAGUUGUAAUAUUUUUUUAUAUUUUUCGAUUUCUAAUGAAUCCAAAUUUUAAGUAUGUGUUUUAAACUAAAAGCAUCAAGAUUUAAAUGACAUUUAUUUCAAAUUUUAAAAUUAAAUUUGGAUCCAAUAUAUAUAAUUAAAUAUUUUUAAUUGUUAAUUCAAAUUUUAUAUCAAAAAUUAAAUUUAAUUUAUGAUUUAAACUCAAAUUUUAAUUUUAAUAUAAAAUAGAUGAUCAUAACUGUUCGGUCUUAUUUGAAAUAUUUUUUAAUAAAUUGAUCAUAACCAUUCUUAGGGAAUAUUCUUUUAUUGCUUUUUUAUUCAGUCUGUCAUUACUAUACGCUUUUAUAUAUAGUAAGUAUAGAUUUAUUGACAGAUGGAUAAAAAUGUACUUGAAAAUAUGUAGAAUUUAAUACGAAUAUUAGUACAUUUUUGGCGCAUAUUAUUGAUAAAAAAGUACAGAACUUAUCUGAAAUAUAGGUUAUUUUGAAUUGGCUAUCCAACCUUAAUUUCAAAAUUUUAAUUUUACUAUCCAACCUUUCAAUUUAUUUAAUUUGAGCUAGCAAAUGACAUUUUCAUUUCAAAUUUUGAGUACAUCAUGUAUCUUAGAGUUGUAGUUAGUAUACAUAGUUUAUACACUCGCAAUUAUAAAUUCAUAAAAGUAAGUAAUUGGUUUACAUUUCAAAAUCAAAGUAUGAUGAACUUGACUCCUAUAAAUUGAAAGAUUAGAUAAUAAAAUCAAAAUUUUGAAAAAAUAGAUAAUUGAUCAAAAUGAUUUAUAGUUCAAAUAAGUUAUAUAUGUUUUUAUCUAUAUAUAUAUAUAUAUAUAUAUAUAAAUUUAAUUUUGCUAUAUAAUCCUAAAGUAGUUUGUAAAUAGGUAUCUAAAUAAAUAUAUAGAUAUAGAACUAUGCUCCUAUACUAUUGACUUGGUGUUAUUAGGUUUUCGGUCUUUAGAUGAAGGGAUAUACUGCUAGGCUUAUAAUAGUCUCCUAGUAUUGAGUGGGCGGUUGGUUAAAUAGUAUAAUUUAAUUGGUGAAAAUGGUCAAAAAAAUAAAUGUAAUGGCGAAAAAUUUGAUAGAGCGCGCCAACUGUUUGAUAAUAUCGGUAGUAUAGUAACCGUACUCUAUAGGCGAUAUAUAUUUGAGCAGAGCACUCAAAAGCUACACCUGCACUCAAAUAAGUGUACACUCAUGGGAAUAAAAAUUUAGCAAAAAUAUAUGGAGAUUCCCUCGCCUAUAGAAAAUUAUGAAACAGCCCUCUCAAUUUUAACGAUUUUCAUUGCCACCUCCUAAACUUUCAAUUCUUUUUAUUUGUUAUCUAAUUAGUUAAGUUAUAAUUGUUGUUGAAAUUUAAUAACUCUAUGAGCUAUAAAUUGUUAAUUAUUUUUUACUUUAUUUGCUUAAAACCGAUCAAAAUUAUUAAAGUUAACAGAACCUAUAAUCUAUUUGAUAACAUGUUCUCAAUUACAACAAAUCUUAGGUUGAGAGGAUGUUGAUCCAAAAAAUUAAAAUGAAAGGGCUACUUCAAAAUGGCUUGUAGGUGGGAAAAAAAAAUCGAAUCGGAUAUGAAUGGGGAUAAUGCUCAAUUCAUAUUCAUAUGUACAUUCUUUUCAUCGGAUUCGGAGACCGGAUAAUAUCCGAUCCACUUUGAUCUACUUAGGGCAUGUUUGGUUCAUAAUGAAAAUAGAAAUAGAAAAUGCAAUUGAAUUGCAUUGAAAUUAAAAUCAAGUUACUGAUGAUUGUCUAACGUACGAGACGAAGAAUGUAAUGAUUGAUAUACGAGGUUUUAAGUUUGCAGCGUGGUUCAUUAUAUUUCCGACCCAAGUUAUUGCUAUAUGAACAUAACCUUUUUUUUCCUUUAGAAAAGUGGAUACACUGAGGCUUCAUUUAUCAUAGUUACUUUCUUAUUUGUUAAAUAAAAUUUUUAUAUAAAAUAGUAUAAGAAAUAAUGAUGGAUUACUUGUAAUUUUUAUGUCUAAGGUGUUUAUUUCACAAUAAGAAAUAAUUAUUUGAAAAUAGUUUCUUUUAGCUUCCCAUUUUUUUUUUGAACAAGUUGUUUAUUCAUCGUUGGACCGAAAUGCUAAGCAUUGCAAGCUAAUAGACAAUAAUAACAAAAAAAAAAAGAAGAAGAGAAUGGUCUAUACUUUAAAUUAUAAUAUCUACGAUCAAGUUUUUAAUUCUUGGAUAUAUGUAAUUUACUACUCGGAGUCUUAAAUUUAAUAAUAAAUAAAAUUUAUUUAUUAUCGUAGCAAAGAUGAACUCCAACUCCGCAACUUUUAGUCGAUCGCCUUUAGAAAAUCUCAAAGGGCCACUUCACCUACUCACAAAAUAAGUAAAUAAAUAAAUAAAUUUGAAGAUGAUUCCAUCCGCGUAGGAUGGCUAUGGACGUAUGCGCUUCGUGGUCAAAUCAUCCUACUCAUCCUCUCCAAAAAGCUUACACAAAGACAAAGAAUUUUAGGUGGAGAGAGUUACAAAGCACUCCAUCCUUUACCCAUAUUAUCCAAUCACCUUGACUUGGACGUAAUGGCCAAGCUGUUGAUGUUGAAUGCUACAUAUCUCCGCUUUCCAAUAGAAAAAAUAUUUUGUAUUUUUUUGAAAUAUUAUUAUUCUUAAUUAUAGUUUCAUAAUCUAAUUAUAAAUUUGUCAUUUAAAAAAAAAAUAAAAAAUGUUGGUACAUUAGCACAGUAAUUAAUAGUGCUGUUCGAGAUAAAAAGCAAUCUACUACACUCCACUGAAUCCAUGAUUGAUAAUUUGAUAUUGGACGCGCAGUAAUAAGUUCAUGGCGUGGUGGAGAUUCAAUGAUUGGAUCCGUAUAGCACUAGCUAGUGUAAGAUUCAACUAUCCAAAGUUGAAUGCUUUAAUUUAUGCUAAAAAGUCAUAUAAAUAUAUAUAUAUAUAUAUAUAUCUGCGUAAGCAAUAUUAUUGCUCCUUGAAGCUCAAUUAUAUUUUUAGAAUUAAUGUUCAUUGAUAAGUCGGAAUUAUAUACACAGCUUGUGAUUGACAAUUAAUGUUUAAAAAGUCGAUGUUUUGAGAAUAUUAAUUCUAGAAGAUAAGUUUGAAAAACCGGCGGACCAAUAGCUGUCGUCAUGGUAGGUCAUACGACUAUUUUGAAGAAUGUAUUUAUGCAAAAAGAAGGAAAAAAAAAGAAAAAGAAAAUAUUCACUACUUUGGCAAAGCCAUAAAUUAAGCUAAUGCUUAUGUAAACAUUGUAGACGUAUGACCAAACACUUCAUUAUUUCAUACAGUUACUCCCAACUUCAAAGGUGAGCAUCAAGAUGAGCCUAAAGAACUCAAACACCUAAGUAAUUGAAAUUUUUGUACUUCAAAAUUCACUUUUGCGACGCCAAAAUAUCAAUCGGAAAACCAAUAAGAACAAGAAUUGGAGAUACUAAUUAAUAUAGUAUAUAGAUAUGUAUAAUCAUAAACAACAGAUAAGAUAAAGCCUCAAAAUUUUUGAUGAGAUCGAUGAUCCGCAUGACUCAUACAGAAGCAAAAGUUUACACUCUCUGGAGCACUUAUUUCCAACACAAACAUACAGAAAUCUCAGAGAUCGACAACAACAGCUUAAUUACUUACCAUGCAUCAUCUUUACACACAAUAUAUACACUAAUUAUUUUUUUUUUAAGUUUUACAAGAUGGCGCAUGAGUUCGGGUUCUCCUCGGCGCUCCGGACGAAGUAAUGCGUCGUCAUCGGCGGAUUAUAAGCCCUGUAUUCAUUGACAAGCUCAUAAACAAUUGGUUGGUAAGGAUGAUCUUUCUUUUUCUCAGCUUCUUCCUUCUUAGGCUCUGCUUCCUUUUUGGGCUCCUCCUCCUUCUUGGGCUCCCCCUCCUUCUUGGGCUCUUCUUUUUUGGGCUCCUCCUCCUUCUUGGGCUCUUCCUUCUUGGGCUCUUCUUUCUUGGGCUCCUCCUUCUUGGGCUCAUCCUUCUUCUCUUCGUUCUUCUCGGGCUCCUUCGCCGGCCCCACCGAGACGAUGUUGGUGGGCCAGAAUUUUCGCAGUUUGCUCACGACGUCGACCGGGUCGACCGAUCCGAUCAGCGUCAUCUUCUUCUCCUUCAUGUCCAUUGCAAUGGAAUCAAUCCCUGCGAGAUGAAACAAGUCGCAAUUAUAUAUACAAACAAGCAAUUUUUUCUAUAAAAUAAAUUGUAAUAAUUUUCAUGGUAUAUUUUCUUUUUAUUUGUCAUACGUACCAUGAAGGGUGGAAACGGCCUUCAUUGCCUUCUGUUUGUCCUUGUCAUCAUGCAAAUCCAACUUCACUACUAUUUUCUGUAAGGAAAUGGGAGCAGUUGCUUUCGAAGUUGGUAAAUUUUCAAUGAGGAGAUAAACAAUACGAUUCUCCCAAUAAGAACUCGAGCAAAUAUAGAAAGUGAUGUGUUUGAGAGAGAGAGAGAUACAUAACCUGUACGUCGCAAACUUCUAAGAUAAGAGUAAGGAAUGUGACAUAGCUCAUAGAUGUUUAAUUUUUGGACUUUGCUACAUCGAUCUAAAAGUAAAUAAAUGAAGAACAUGUACGACUACCGACAAUCUCUAGCAGUUUGAUAUAUUAGUGUUCGAAGUCUCGAGUUCGAAAUUUAAUUAUUUUAUAUUUUUACUUAAGUUUAUUUUUUUUAAAAAAAUAAAUAAACUAUCUUAAUUUCUCAACAAAAAAAAAACAAAGUAGAACUAAUUUUUUUUCUUUUUUUCUUUUUUUCAAUUUAGAGCUUGACUCGUGACACUCAUUUUCAGAGUCUUACCACCAGAAAUUCAGUAAUUUCGCUCAGCACAUUCACAAGUAUAUAUGAUCCACAACUGAAAUAUAUGGUGGAAAUUAAUAAAUAUAAUCCGAGCAUGGUAAAGCAAACAUUUAUCAAUGUUCUUAAAAAAGAAAAGCUAAUAAGAUCUUGCUUGCUUUCGAAUGUCUAAAGAGCAAAGAGUAAUUAAGAAACUGCCGUGAUAAAACCAUCAAUAAACAGAUCAACAAAAUGAGAUGAAACUUACGUGAACUGCUAGACUAUGUAACACUAGCUAGGAAUAUAUAUAUUCAUUCUCAUUUAAAGUUGGGAAAAGAGAUGCCUAUAGCCCAAGCCAUAGCCAUUCCUUUAGAAUAGAAUCACUGAUGCAUUGAAAGGAAUCCAAACUAACACCCCACACACACACACACACACACACACACAAAAAACAUCUCACCUUCAUCUGAUCUUAAGAAACUCUUCCCAAAGUGCGUGGUCGAAGAAUGUUUAAAGAGAGAGAGAGAGAGAGAGAGAGAGAAGGGAAAGUGUCUGAGUGUGGGUGUGGGGGAUAAAAAGGAGUGGGUGUAGAGGAGUCGCAAUUUGGUAUGUGGGAAUUAAAGAAAAUAAAAAAUAAAAGAGAGAGAGAGAGAGAGAGAGAGAGAGAGAGNAGUGGGUGUAGAGGAGUCGCAAUUUGGUAUGUGGGUAUUAAAGUAUAUAUAUAUAUAUAUAUAGAGAGAGAGAGAGAGAGAGAGAGAGAGAGAGAGAGAGAGAGAGGUGGGGUGGAGAAACCGCUGGGGCUUCUCUCUCUCCUCUCCGCUUUAUUCGUCGUGGCUUCCAGCCCGCGUACGUCUCACGCAUCCUUUAAUCGAUUUCGUCGCGUCCCACAGAAAACUUUUUCCUGCACUUGGUCUUCCACGUGCAUCAUUUGUGAGCCUGCUGUCAGGACUCAGCAAAUUUACUAUACAAUUUGACUCCUUAGUCUAACUUCGCGAGCGGAGCUGGUUCGAGCAGAAAAGCGGAUGCCGCACGGACUUUAUAAAUAAAAAUACUAAGACCGUGACACUGCGCACUGAACUAUAGAAAAUUUUUAUAUAUAUAUAAAAAUAUUAAUUGCAUACAAAUACUUACAAAUAUAGUAAAUUAUAAAUAUAUUUUUAUAAAAUUCAACUUUUAUAUAUUAUUUCUAUAAAAUUAAAUUCUGAUAUUUUUAAAUAUACUCUUCAAAAAUCCCAAUUGUUAUAAUCGUGCAGAAAUAUUCCUUCCAAAAAAUUUUAAUGGUUAUCUUUUUCCUAUAUUUCUUCUUUUUUAAAACUCAACUCAAUCCACCAUUGUUGCAACCUAUUCUCUCACUACUUUUUUUCUAAAUUUUUUUUUUAUUUUAAGUAAAAUAAGAAAAAAUCAUAAAGAAAAUUGAGAAAAGCAAUACGCGUUCGACAUGGGCGAGACAACAUACGUUAUAGAUGAAUAAGGACGGAGAAAUUCUAAUUACGGAUUUGAAACUAGCACGAAAAAGAGAUGGAAGAGGAAGAGGAAACGAAGGAAGAAAAAAAUUUCCAUUAUUUUUUUUUUAGAGAUAGAUAGUAUGCUAUCUGCUUCGUUUAUUUCAUUUAGAAAUAACUUAGCUAGAAAUGUGAAUCAACUAGGAUUCGAACUUGGCUCUCAAAUACCAACUACCAAUUUACCUCAUUAACUAAUUAAUUAUGGUUAACUAUUUUACCAAUGGUUAACUAAAUUUUUCUAAUGAAUUUUAACGGUAUGAAUAUAUUUGUAAAUAUUAGGAGUUUUAUAAAAAUUAUAAAAAAGUUGAAUUUUGUAAGAAUAUAUUUACAAUUCAUUAUAUUUGUAGGGACUAUAUGCAGUUAACCUUAUAAAAAAGAUCUCAUAAAAAGUUUCUGAUACUAAACAAGUGCAGUCGUAUAUUUACAAGAUUUUUUAUAAAUCUAUAUAUUGAUACUAAGAAAUUUUGGUCGUUCAAAUUAUAAACUUUUACUAAUAUUCUUAUUUUAGUUUAAUAAAUAAUAGUUAUUGCAAAACGCGAAUAAUAUGAUAUCAGAAGUAGAUCGAAAUCUCUAAUACUUUUUUUGAAUUACUUAAAUUAAUUUUAAAAAGGUAAUUUAUGAGUAACCUAUAUUGUGGGUAUGUAAAUUUUUAUAUACUGAAAAGGUUUUGGCUGACGUGGCAGAAUAGGUCCACGCUACAGUUUCUCCACAGUGAGUAAUUUUCCCACUAUUUUUGUAUGGGCAUGCUGGGGUUGGCCACUUGCUGUAGCUCACGUCAAGUGUGUCACGCCACGUUUCCAUUAAAUUUUUUUAAAAAAACAAUUCAAUAGUAAGCAACUUUUACAAGCUUAAUUUGGUACUCCUCACUGUACGUACAAUUAAUUAAAUACAAAUAGAAGCGCUACUUUGUUAAUGGGGAAAACUUCAAAAACCCUCGUGUGGUUUCAUAGUUUCUCAUUUUGCCCCCCUGUAAUUUAAAAUAUAUCAAUUUGUCCUUCUGUGAUUUCAUUUUUCUCUUUUUCUUAUCAAUUUUAUUUUAUUUUUUCUUAAAUCAGUGAUAAAGUUAAAAUUAACGGGUACGAAAGUGAAUAUUUGAUAAAUCUAGAUGGAUAUCUGAAAUUUUUUGUAUAUAAUUUAAUAAAAUAUUAACGAAAAAGCUACCGAAAAGAUAAAAACGAAACCACAGGGGAGCAAAUUAAUACACUUUAAACCACAGGAGGUAAAGUGAGAAACUACCAUAGGGGGGGUUUUUGAAGUUUUCCCUUGUUAAUUUAGUGGUUUCUCAACAUGGUUCGCGUGGUACAUUCAAAAAUUUUAUAAAAUUUUAUUUAAUUUCUUUUUCCAAUUUUAAUACUGUAGUGAACAUUUAAUUUGCAAAACACAUAAUAAGAAACAAUGGAAUGCUCCUUAUUUUGCUUUUUUUUACUGAUAGAUUUGGGUAGGAUUUUGUGUAGAUGUCCAACUAAACUUGAUUUAAAAACUAUUAGAGUUGGGACAUUCAUCUAAAAACGGCUCAAAGUUGAAGGAGUUCUACCUUUCUUUUUUCAUUUGGGUAAAUUUCAACAUGCCGCUUAAGUGGUUUACCUCAUUUUUUUUACUUUAUCAUUUUAUGGUUUAAAAAAAUUAUACUUAAUAUUCUGUAAUUUUAUCUCUAUUUUUAUCCAAAAAUGUAUUAUAAAAUAGAAUAACAAAAAAAAAAAAAUUUAUAACCAUAUAAUGAUUAAUUUGUAAUUUUUUAAAUCACAUGGUGACCAAAUAAACAUGAGCUAAACCUUAGAAAGGUGAAAUAUGCCUUUAUGAACCGCUGAAUAGUAAAGUAAAAAUAAGCUAAACAGCAAGAAUGCAAAUUGAAUUUUACUUCUUCUUUCUUUUCUCCUAAAGAGGAGAGGUUUCUUUUCCGUUCACUACUUUACCUCUUUUCUCCAAUAUAUGUGAAAUGUCAAUCUUUGUCCUUCAUUUUUAGGUUUCUUUUCCGUUCAUUACUUUUGAGUUUACAUCAACAAGAACUCGCGACAUUGGAUCAACAAAUAAUAUUACGUUGGCUGUUGAAGAACUACUAGUUCAAGUGCACAUCUAAUGUACACUUUUCACCAAAAAAAUGUGUUUUUUUUUUUUUUUUUUUUUUUUUUUUUUUUUUUUUUUGAGAGAGAGAUAGGUAGCACGCUACUCGCUUCAUUUAUUUCAUUUAGAAAUAAACUUAGCUGGAAAUGUGAAUCAACUAGAAUUCGAACUUGGGUCUCGGGUACCAACCACCAAAUCCUUUGUCACUUGCUCUAGGGACAGUCGGUAAGUUUUUUUUAAAAAAUUUUGCAUACGCAUUUUGUAGAAUUUAGUUAUGUAUAUAAAUUAAAUAUAUUUUAUAAUAAAUAUAAUCAUCUAAUUUGGCAUAGAAAUAGGUAUAGCAAUAGUAGAUUUAGUUUAGUUGGAUUUGCUAUUAAAUAAAAGUAGAUUAUAUAUCUUAAUUAAAUUGUCUGAGUUAAAAAUAAUUUAUUUUGUAAUGUUAUUUAAAGUAUUGAUACACUUCGAGAAUAAAAAGAACAUAUUUGGAAGAAAAUUUGGCAAAAUUAAAAUUUUUAUUUGCUCUUUUAUAUAAAGCAUAAUACACAUAACUUUUCUGAAUGAAUAAAUCGAACUAAUAUUCUGUAUGCCCUCAUCGAUCCUCUUCCAUUAAUUGGUUAACAUAUGGAUGAUUUUUUAUUUACCAAAAUUUUCCCACGUUUUUAACUUGGCAUGUAGCUAAUAAAAAUAAUUCCAAAUGAUAAUAAAAUAUACAAAAUAGUAGCGGUUUAGUUAGAGCAAAAACAAAUAAAAAGUCCAACAAAUUAAAUAGUAGAGUACUUUUAACAAACUUUAAAUUAUUUUGCACAGAUUUUUCAGGAAUUAUUUGUAAAUUGAGCUGGCACUACUUUAUGUUAACUCUAUAUAUUAGAUCCAUUUUAUUUCCACAAAUGAUUCCACUAAGAUGGAGACACCUAAUUUCGAUUUGUUUGUUCCUAUUGUCCACAACCCACUUAAUAGCAUUAUGGUACAAAGUGCAUAUCCCUUUAAGAGUGAAAUGAUACUAAUUUUGCCCAAUCUUAUUCAGCAUUAGGUAGAAAAACUGGGCGAUAUCAUUAGUACAUUAUUAGCGCAUGCCCGUCGCUAUACUAAGCAUUUAUCAGUGGAGAAGGUUUUUUUUUAAAAAAAUGGAGCUAAUAUAUAGCUAGAAAGAAUUGUGCAAGCGGAGAGAAUCAAGUAAUAAAAAAAUUCAGCUCAAAUUAAGCUGCACGGUAAAAAUUUAUAUAUGAUGUAUUAAAUUUUUCUGUUUCUAUAUCGGCACUAUAAUUGGCUUAAAAUUGUAAUGCAGUUAUUUAUAAUUUCAUUCGAAGUGAGAUGUAAGAUUAUAAUGACACAAUUAUACAGUAAAUUAUUAGUGCGUCUUUUAUCUGAAUCAAACUCACUUGUUUGUAAAAGUGAAAUAAAGUAUUGUUACAGAAGUUUACAACUAGGUCUUGUAACGUGAGUACGUGAACGGUUGGUAAUUGAACGCAUGGUAAAUUAGUACGCAAAUUUGCUUAGGGUACCACGUGAAAUUGAACUCAUUAGCUAGAAUGUUCAAAAUGUUGUAGGCGUAUGAUACAAUAAAUUGUACUGUUCACAUUGGUCGCAUGUCACAUCGAUCUAAUGGGAUUUACACUGAUCCACCUCAGCAUGUCUCUCACUGAAUGAAAUGAGAUACAUUGACAAAACAUUCUCCUCUACUCAUAGGACUCACACCGCAGCUGGAAAAUAAAAAAACGGAUUGAAAAUUAAAGAUUAAAAAAGGCCAUUUAUCUGGUGUCAAGUCUCAAUCGAGCAUUUUAUUAUUAUUAUUAUUACUCUUACUAUUAAUUACUAUUAUUUUAUAUCGACCGUCUUUAGAGCAAGUGGCAAAAGACUUGGUAGUUGGUAUCCGAGAUCCAAGUUCGAAUCCUAGUUGAUUCAAAUUUUCGGCUAAGUUUAUUUUUAAAUAAAAUAAACGAAGCGCAUAGCGUGUUACCUAUCUCUAAAAAAAAAAAAAUAUUAUUUUAUGAUUUCCAUUAACGAUGCAGGUUCAAUUAAUGCACCGUCUCUUCACAAAAUAAAAACGUGUUCCUUUCACAAGAUUUUGGCUUUUCAAAUCAAAAUCUACGGGUUAGUAGGAUCCAAGGUUAGGUUUGAUACUUGCACAAAUUAAUUUCUGCUUUUCUCCGAGUAAUUGUUGAAUUAAUUAAGGAUGACAAAUUGGAAACCUCUCAAUACCUAACAAGACGGAAUUGGUAGCUAGAAUUGAACCAAGUUAGACGAGAAUCGGACUAAAUUGUUUCGUAAUUUUGUGGCGUGAUUAAUUCCGAAAACAAAAAAUAACAAUGGCAAGUAAUAUUAGAACUGAAGUAUCAGAGCCUGUCCUAAGCUCUUUUCAUUCUAAGAAUUUCCAAAGUCAGACUCGCAGCAGAUGCACUAAUAUUCUCCUAUUAGUGCAUCUGGUAUAAUUCAUCUAAUGUAUAUAUUGCUCGCGAGAGAGUAGUGUAGAGAUUAAUUUUGAAUUGUUUUUUUUUUCAGAAUGAUGUUUUGGAUACAUCGAGCUCUGAGGCCGUGUUAAAGAUUCCUACCUAGAGCAAACGAUUAAUCUCAACCCUCUCAUUCUCUCUAACCUCGACUCUAUUUCUCUUUUUAUUUCUUUAAUUAUGCUUUCUCUUUCCAACUUAUAUUUUUUCUCUUUUUUUCUAAAAAAAUAUUAAAAUUAUUUAUAGUAUUAUUUAAAAUUAAUUUAAUUAAUUAAUUAAUUAAUUAAUUAAUUGUAUAUUUUUCGUAAUCUUAAAUAACCUGACUAAAUAAUAUGACCGUACGAACCAAACACCGAAAUACUACAUUCUUAGUAAUAAGAUGAAUAAGAAUAAGAUUCUCGGAUAUUUUUUUACUUCUAGUAAUUUUUUAUAGUGCGAACCAAACGCGCCCUUAAGGUGAGCAAAAUUGCAUCUUUACUAGUCAGGUUUGAAUUAUUCGAGCCGGACCAGCUUGGUCAUUGUGGCUCGAGUCACAUACUCAGAGAAAUGGUGCAAACAGGCCAGGUUACGUGGACAGGGGUGUCGAGGACCCGAUUCGCACGACAAAAGUUUCUCAGCUUAAGGCCCAAUAGGCACUUUCGAGUGUUAGAGCCCAAUGCCUCUUUUGGGCCUUCAUUGGCCUGUUUGGUAAAAUCACAUUCGUGGGCAACAAUCAUAACAAUUAAAAGCUAGACUGGUGUCCCUGUUUGUGGGCCGUGAGCUUAUCAUGUCCUUCAAUCCCACCAUACACUAUGCGACGCAACUCGUUUUGGUAGCUUCUGAAUUGGCUAAAUGCCAAGUCAAUCUCACCGACCAUUCCUAGCGCAAGUUGCAAAAGAUUUGUAUAAUAAAUAUUUAUAAUAACUAACUGUCCCUAGAGCAAAGUUGCAAAAGAUUUGGUGGUUGGUACCGAGUCCCAAGUUCAAAUCUUAGUUGAUUAACAUUGCCAACUAAGUUUAUUUCUAAAAAAAAUAAACAAGACAGGUAGCAAUGCUUUCUUUCACUAAAAAAAAAAACCAAAAAUUAGAACCGUUAAAAAAAAUGUGCACAUUGAAUGCAGAGAGAGAGUAUAUAACAUAACGAAAUAUAAAAUCACUGCUACAUUGAGGCUAUUUUGUUGCAUGUUUUUGCAAUUGUACUAUAGGCGUAACUAUAUAUAGAUCUAAAUAUGGUGUUUAAUUUAAUACAUUUGAGUCCAACUGCAGCAGUUAGAAUUUCAUAAUGAGGCUCAACUACAGUUGUUGGAAUUGGAUCCAAAUUGGUAGAAGUUUUAACUAUAAUAGUUAAGAGAAUAACUUUAAAUGAAAGCUAAGAAGGCCAUCAUCCUAAUCAUCUUUUAAACAGAUUUUUGUUUUUUAAAAUAUAUUGGAAGUAAUCUUAUGAUUCUUAUUGCCCUAAAUUUAAACCAACAAAAUUAGAAAAAUACAUUUAUAAAUAUAGUUUUCAAUACUAUGCAAUCAAAAAAAUUAUCUAUAUUCACAAUAUUUUAUACUAUAUAUAAUUAAAUAAGAUUUAUAUAAUUAUAAGUGUUAUUUUUCAAAUUGCGUAUUUUUUCUCAACUAUACUGUAUUUAUAAUUGUAUAUACUGGAAGGGCUCCAAAGUGAAGUGACUCAUCUGCGAUUUGACAUAGCUCGACCACAUGACACCACGAUAAGCUGUUGCGUUAAAUCUGAUAAACCGACAAAAGAAAUAUAUGAUAAUUGCUAAGCUAAAGUGUCAUAAGCAAAAAAGAGAAAGUGUUUAGAUAAAGUUAUUUAUAAGCAAAAAAAUUCUUGGUUUUUCUUCUUUUAUUUUUUUGGUAUUUGUUUUUAUUUUUGGGGAAAGCCUGGUAACUCCUCACUCAUUCCAGAUGCUAGAGAAAGCCGCAAUAAAGUAGCUUCUUUUUUUUUUGAGAGAGAUAGGUAGCAGUAUACUAUUCGUUUUAUUUAUUUCAUGUAGAAAUAAAUUUAACUGAAAAAGUGAAUCAAUUAGGAUUCAAACUUGGGACCUCGGGUGCUAACCAGUAAAUCUUUUGCUACUUGCACUAGAGACGGUCGAUCGCAAUAAAGUAACUAUUGAAGUCCCCAGAAGCGCUUCUGCGAAGAGCACAUCGUCGGCGGUGGGUGAGCCGACACAAUAUUUCAACUGCUCUUUAUGUUGCAAUAGAAAACCCAACUCUGUUCUCAAAGGAAAGCAACACAAACACUAUCUUAUCAUACACGUACACCCUGAUGAACAUCUAAUUUGAUUAAAAGUUGAUUGUUAAAGGGAAAAGAAACGACAAAAAAGAAAACAGAAGGUGGGGAGGAAGUUGGUUCUUUUGGUGAUCUUUCUGUUGCAAUUAUUGGCCAGAUUUUGUAUUACUUUCUGGGACAUGGCCAGGGCUACUAACAAUAUGGCAUGUGGGAGUGUCAAGCAAAAGUUUAACGCAGACAGGACCGCAUAAAAGAAUUAUGAAAUCUAUUGCAUUUUACUUGAAUGAUGGAUCAAAUGAUCUUGCGAUCGGUCUCCCUUAAAUUCUUAUUAUGGAGUGCCUAUUCGUGUCAAUUGACUUGCUAAUGCAUCAACCGAAACUAAAUUAGCGACCAUAUUAUAGAAUUUGAUUUUAAAAUUGUGCGCAGAUAGUGUGAUAUCUUAUAUUACGUAGGAUUAAGAUCAAGAUGGAAGCGGGUGUUAACACUAGUUUUUAAUUGUUUUCUGUCGGAUUAAAAUAUGUCUAAAUUUUCUUGCUUCUUUUUAUUUAAUCAAUUUUUUAGAUAACAACUUAGCGGAGGUGCGUAGCUUGUCAAUUGCAAACAUAAUGGGAACCCACUAAUUAACUACCCUAAAUAAGAUAAGUUUUUGACUAUGAGCAGGUUUUUAUAGUUCUACCACACAGUACUAGAUUCUCUCGUCUCCACUUAUUUUAGAGGUUACAUACACUUUCCCACAGACACACACCACAAGAGAAAAAAAUUAAAAAAAAGGUUUGAAUUAUUGCAGAGGUGUACUACAUGUAGAAAAUAUUAGGGAAAACUUCAAAAACCCCCCCUGUGGUUUCACACUUUUUCAUUUUAGUACCCUGUGGUUUGAAGUGUAUCAAGUUAGUACCCUGUGGUUUCUCACUUUAUCACUUUAGUACCCUGUGGUUUCACACUUUAUCACUUUAGUACCUUGUGAUUUAAAAAACUAUAGGGUACUAACUUGAUACAAAAUUAAAACCACAGGGUACUAAAGUGAUAAAGUGAGAAACCACGGGGUACUAACUUGAUACAUUUUAAACUAUAGGGUAUUAAAGUGAAAAAAAUUGAAACCACAAGAGGGAUUUUUGAAGUUUUCCCAAUAUAUUAAGAGCAAGUGUUGCUGCCUCGUGCCGGCUUCGAGGCAUUAAGUAAUACAAGAAUGUCUAUGGAGUGUAGCUAGGCCUCGAGUCUUAUUUGCUCCUAAUUUAAAGGAAGGUUUGAUGAUGUAUAUCCAAUUGGAAUCUUAUAAGCACUUCUUAAUUAUACAAUAUUUGUAUGUCUGAACUUCUGCUUCUGCUUUAAGCUAUAAUCACUUUUAGUACAGUAUUUGUCAAAUAAGAAAAUUUGAAGAAGUUUCUGUUGCGAUGAAAAUUAGAAAUGAUAUUUUGAGGAUGAAACAUAGACGCUCCAAAAUUGGAGCCUGUAAUUUUGCUCAAUUGACAAAAAGCUUGAUGAUUGGUAUGUGAGAUCUCACACUUGAAAUUUAGUUGUUUCAUAUUUCAAGCUAAGUUUAUUUCUAAAAAUAUAAAUACAGAGCGUGACAUGUCAUCUUUCUCUUUGAAAAAAGAAGAAAAAAAUUAACAAAAGAAUGCGAACCCUACCUAGCGAAGUUGCCUAAGGUCUUGAUGGUUGAUAUCCGAGAUUCCAAAUUUGAAGUCAAACUGCUUCAUAUUUCUGACUAAACUUAUUUGUAAAUGAAUAAACGAAGCGAGUAGGUUGUUAUCUUCCCUCUGAAAAAAAAACAAAAUUAAGAGAUGAUAUUUGAAAUAGAAGUUAUACAAAGUUUUGGAGACGCAAAUUUAUGUCAAAGAGGAGCUAGGCUGCUAUAUUAUCGAUAGCACAAAGGUCUCUGUGCUAUCAAAUUAUUUUCAAUGAUGCGGCUUUCAAAUCAACGAUAGACUCUGUUAGACUUGAUUUAUACUAUUGAAAGUAUUUAUAAACUAAAUUUUAUAAUUUUUUAACAUUAUUUAGUUACUGAUCAAAAGGUCUCAAAAUUGAGAAUUUUAAUAGUUGAUACGAUGCAUUUAUGAAUUUAACGAUAUAAAACAAUUCAAAUUUGAUGAAUUUUUUAUAUUUUUUUUUUCACUAUUUAGAGUAAGAUCAAUACAUCCAAUCUUAAAUUUAAGCCUUUUAUCAUCAUUUUUUAUGAAAUUUUUAUUUUUAGCCGUUCAUUUUUAGAUUACUUAUUUGAUAGGUAAAUAAUGUCAAAAAAUUAUAAAAUUUAGUCCUAAAUACUUUUAAUAGUGUAGAUAAAGUUUAACAGAAUCGACCGUCGAUUUGAAAGUCACAUUAUAAAAAAUAAUUUGGUAGUACGGUGAUUUCUGUGCUACCGGUAGCAUAGCAAUUAACGGGACUCUUCAAAGAGAGUUUAUAGUCAGAAAUAGAAGCUGAUAUGCAUAGCUUUUGUAGUUGUUUUCUUUUUUGUGGGCCUACCAGGUGAAGGUUGAUACCAUGUUAUUGCCAAAGUUCUUUUUUAAAGUGAAAAGGCCAAAAAGAUAACGUGCACAUAAUGCAUGUGGACUCAUUGAAGGUUGUGCGCUUUCAAAAUAAAAGAUUAUGGUCUUUAGAAAUAAUUUUGUUCUAUAUAUAAAAUUAUUUGGUUCUUUAUCCUCAUAUAUAGCAGGUCACAUCAGCCCGGUUAAAACAUUAUGUGGGUAGUUGACUUCUUUUAUUAAUUAUUAGAUGCAUGCCUAACAAAAUGUCAUUUUUUUCUAUAAAAAUUGACAUAUACAACUUUUCAAUAUUAUUAAAAUAGAUGAAUUAUAUUCUAGUCAGGAUUUGAAUCUUUUAGCUCUGAGAACAGUAAAAUUUAUUUUGAACAUACUAAAUUUAUUUUAUAAUUCAUUUCGAUAUUGUCGUAUGAAUUUAUAAAUUUUGAUCAUUAUUUACUAAAUUGUCUGUCCAUAUUCAAACUCAAUGAUGAAACCUUAGUAUAUGAGUUCUUCGCUAAGAUACUUAAAAAACUUUUAUUGAUUAAAAACAAAUAAAAAUAAAAUUGGUUUUGUGAUUUGGUGGGUACAUAAGUCAAGUUUGAACAAUUUGUUAAACUAGAUGUUUUAGUUUUUCAGUUGCCAAAAACACAACAUUUUUUUUUCCUUGCGUAGAAAAUACGUUCCAGGGCCAAAUAGGCCUCCAUCAUAGAUGGCUAUUGAAUGAACAAUUAUAAGAUAGAUCGAUCCUAAACUGGUAUAAGAACUAUUACUUAGUGCAGUGGUUAUUCUCCAGUGAGGAUUUCUAAAUUGCAGGUUACGAAUCCCGUACAACGAUAAAAAAACCUCCACCUUUUUCGGUAUUAUAGUAGCAUGUUAAUUUCGAAUAGAAUAGAGUUAUGGAGCCUAUGGGCAGUGAUUAAAAAAAAAAAAGAUCUAUUGGUGAAAGUGGCGUAGUUUGAAGAUUAGAAAUUAGCCAAUGGCCUUUCGUAUCACAAACUACUCUUAGAAGAUAAUAAUUUGUCAUUAAUGAAUAGUUGUUUUUUAUUUAUUUAGUGUUCACAGGGUGGAUUUGGCUACGUUCAAUAUAAAUGUUCAAUCAAUAUUAUCAUCUUUUUUUGUUUUUUAAAAUAUAAUUAAGUUGAAACAAAGGAAAGAACUAGGAAAUGUUCAACUAUCGCAGAGAUCAAAGAAGAUGACCGGUGCUCUUUAAUCUCUACCAACAAAGGCAUUAUCGCGGAUAGAAGGGCACAAAGGACUAGGCAUACUCUGUUUGGUUCGAAUCAUAUUACUGAACUAAACCAAGUUAUUUCAAAUUAACUCUGUCCGUUAAUUUUUUGGGCAAUAACGUUGGAUUUAAUUUUGCAAAGUGUGGAUCAAAUGUAUAGAGUUCAUGAUCAAAUUGGCGCACACUAUUGGGACAGGAAAUUCGUGUGCUUGCCUCUCUUUUUUUUUCCUCUAUGUUGUGACUUUAUUCUGUGCUCACGUGUAAGACAUGUAAGCAAUUACUCCGUAAAUGUUAAUAGGAUCAAUUUUUGAAUAAAGCUUAUAAAAUUCCGAAACUUCGCAUCCGAUACAUUUUGACCAGGAAUUGAGUUUGCAAAAAGACACAUAGUUUAAUUUACAAUCUCAUCAUCAAAAUUAAUUCGAUCGGGGAGCAAAGUCGAACGUUAGCACAUCACAUGGCCAUAAUCAUGCAUAAUUAGUCGUAGCAUAUUUAUGUGUAAUAAGUUUAAAUAUAAAAAUGCCUCUGCAAGCUUUUGCUGUAGUACGACGCUGCUUCGAUCGAUAUAUGCCUCCAUCUAUGUACCCCGAUUCUCUAUGCAUAAAAGAAGGAUAAAAUCAUAUAACCCACAAAACCAUGCAUAAAUCCAAGAGGAGAGUAUAUUUAGAAAUUUGUGCUCUCGAUUAAUCUAAGAAACGAACAAUCAUUCUAAUUCGACCAACUUGUUCAUAUAUAGAAAAAUAUUUAGACAAACCAAACUCGAUCUUUAGGUCGAGACCACCUGAAUUUCUUUUUCGCAUAAGUCCAAAUUUUUAGAAGGGGAAAGAAGGGACCAUUAAAAUGCCUAUAAAAGUUAAAAUUUUUUUAUGCCUAUCCCUUAAAAAGAAAAUCCCCACAGUUGAUAAUCUAUUGAAAAAGGGAUGGUUGGAUAAUCCUCUCUGUAUCCUCUGUGAUGAAGUUACGGAGACAGUGGACCACCUUCUUAUAGGAUGUAUAUACACUAGAUUUAUAUUUUUUCGAACCUUGAAGGACAUCCAGUGUUUACAGACAAUAGAGAACGUAACGAUUUAGAGUAAAAUGACCAUAAAUAUUAGGUCGGGGGAGAUUCUACAGGAUCUGAUUACCGUAGUAGCGUGCCGUUGGCUAAUCUGGAAGAAAAGAAAUAACACGAUUUUUAAAAACCACAUUAUCGACCCUUUCUUUGUAGUUGGGUGUAUCAUCAAGGAAUUGGUAAAAGAGUGGAGGGACUUUUGUUGAGCUGAAUAACAUGUCGAUUACUUUUGUUAUUAUUUCUCUUUUCUUUUUUCUUUGAGCUAUAUUUUUACUUACUGUUUGUAGCCAAGUUCAUUUUCGAAAUGAAUGGAGCAGGUAGCGUGCUACCUUUUUUUCAAAAAAAUAAGAAAAGUAGGGACCAUCUUGCAAUAAACGAAAGAGAAUGUGUGUGAAUAUGUGAUAGCAAUAAGUAGAUCCACCACCUGCAUUGAACACUGUAAAAGAGGAUCACAAAUCAUUGGUUGCACAAUGCGUAUUCGAAUUUCUCGUACACCGCGAAUGAAAUUUCAUAACUAUAUAACAUAAGUUAAUCUCAUAAAUAUGUUUUAUAUAUUGCAUCUAAAGUUUGAAACUUGAAAAGUUAGAAAUAAGAAGAUUGAAAAUUUUAAAAGUUUAUUAUUCAGAAAUCAAUUAUUGAAGAAAAGUAUAACAAAGAAAUAUUAAAAGCAGAUGUCUCAAUUUUUUAAAACUUUUAAAUUAUUAAAUAUAUAUAUAGGGCAUGGCUACUAUACUAUUAUGAGUAUUGGAGCCCUCGUACUCAUAAGUUGUUUUCAAUGAUGGAGCUUCCGAAUCGACGAUCCACUCCGUUAAAUAUGAUUUAGAGUAUUUGAAACUUCUAGAAAAUAAAUUUUGUAAAUUUUCGAAAUCAUAUUAAAGUCCAUCAAGUGGGCAUAAAAUGAACGGUCAAAAUCGAACGACGUCCUAAAAAAAGAUGAUCAGAUCUUUCAAUUCAAGAUCGGAGUUAUUGAACUUUAUCUAUGUGAUGAAUAGAAUUUUUUAUCAAAAAUUCAACAAAUUCCGAUUCUUUUACACCGUUAAGCUAGCAAGUAUUUCAUACCGGCCGUUAAAAAUUGUCAAAUUUGUGGCAAAGGACUUGGUGGUUAGUACUCGAGACCCAAGUUCGAAUCCUAAUUGAUUCACAAUUCCAGCUAAGUUUAUUUCUAAAUGAAAUAAACAAAGCGGGUAGCGUGCUAGCUAUCUCUCAAAAAAAAAAUGUCAAAUUUGUGACCUCUUGAUUGUAAGGUAAAUGAUGUCGAAAAAUUAUAAAAUUUGAUUUCUAGAAGUUUUAAAUACUGUAAAUAACGUUUAAUGGUAUGGAUCGUCAAUUCGGAAGCUCUAUCAUCGAAAAUAAUUUAUGAGUACGAGAGUGAUCGUACUCAUAAUAGCAUAGUAGCCGGACCCUAUAUAUAUAUAGAAAGAGAGAGUGCGUCUGGUAUGCUUCUGGAAGUACGGAGCGCUCCGUGCUUUCAAGUUGUUUUCGAUGUUCGGACUUUCGAAUUAACGAUCGGCUCCGUUAGAGUUGAUCUAGAGUAUUUGAAGUAUCUAGAAAAUAAAUUUUGCGAUUUUUCAAUAUCAUUUGCCUAGUGAUCGAAGUGGCUCAAAAUCAACGGCUGAAAAUAAAAAUCUUACAAAAUAUGAUGAUAUGACAUUAAAAUUUUAGAUCAAAGUUAUUGAUCUUGUUUUAUAUGGUAUAAAAAAUUUUUUAUCAAAAUUUCAUAUGAUUUGAAUAUUUCUACACCGUUUAACUUGCAAACGGCUCACCACGGCCUUUAAAAUUAUUGAUUUUGAGCCCCUUCGAUCACUAGGAAAAUGAUAUCGAAAAAUUACAAAAUUUAUUUUCUAGGUACUUCAAAUACUCUAGAUCAACUCUAACGGAGACGAUCGUCGAUUCGAAAGUCCGAACAUCGAAAAUAACUUGGAAGCACGGAGGGCUCCGUGCUUCCAGAAGCAUACCAGCCCAUUAUAUAAUAAUAAUAAUAAUAAUAAUAAUAAUAAAUUAAUAUAUAUAUAGAGCAUAUCUAAUUUGAAAGUAUGUGUAAUAUGUUAUUAGAAGAGGUUAUCAGAGGGGGCAAAUGCUUUAAGUUCCCUUAAAAUUGCCUCUAUACUAUUUAAAAUAUAUUGACAAGACAUUCAUAUGUAACAACAAUAUACAAAUGAAAAAUAUUUUGCUCACAUACAAAAUUUUCAACUUUUCACAUAUAGGGACGUAAUAUAUAUAUAUAUAUAUAUAUAUAUAUAUAUAUAUAGAGUUGAGCUAGAAAUACUUACUCGAUAGUAAAACGGGGUGUUUUACUAUCGAGGUUGUUUUCGAUGAUAGAGCUUGCCAAUUGACUGAUCGGCUCGUUUAAAUAUGAUCUAAACCAUUUAAACUACCGAGAAAUCAAAUUUCACGGCACUUUCGAUAAUUGUUCGUUUAAUCCAUCUAAUGAACAAAAAAAUGAAUGGCUGAAAUAAAUAUUCUUUAAAAAAUGAUGAUAGGAGUCUUGUAAUCAAGAUCAAGAGUAAGAUCUUUGUUAAAUAGUUUAAAGAUUUUCUAACAAAUAAUUUAAAUUGAGUUUUGGAUAUCUGUUACAACCGUUAAAACGAGAAAACGUCUCUUAUCCACACAUUAAAUUACAAAUUUUGAAACCGCUUUGAUCAUUAGGCAAAUGACGAAAAGAUUUGAAAAUUUAUUUCUAAACAACUUCAAAGUGGUAUAUGGAUCAUCUUCAACAGGAGCCGAUCGUACAAUUUGGGAACUCUAUCAUCAAAAAACAAACUCGAUAAUAAAACGCCCCGUUUACUAUGAGAGUAUGUGCGAGCGUCAACUCUAAAUAUAUAUAUUAUGAACAGGCUACUAACUAUCGGUACACGGAGCGCUCCGUGGUACCAGAGUGUGUUUCGAUGAUGCGCUUCAAUCGACGAUCGGCUCCGUUAGACUUGAUCUACACUAUUGAAAGUAUUUAGAAACUAAAUUUCAUAAUUUUUCGAUAUCAUUUACCUAUCAAACAAGUAGUCUAAAAUUGAACGGCUGAAAAUAAAAAUCUCAUGAAAAAUGAUGAUAAAAGAUUUAAAUUCAAGAUCAGAUAUACUGAUCUUACUCUAAAUAGUGAAAAGAAUUUUCUAUAAAAUUUUCAUCGCAUUUGGAUUUUUUUACACCGUUAAACUCACAAACACACCACAUCGGCCAUUAAAAUUGUCAAUUUUGAGAUCUUUUGAUCACUAGUCAAAUGAUGUCGAAAAAAUCUGAAAUUUAGUUUCCAAAUACUUUCAAUAAUGUAGAUCAAGUCUAACGGAGCCGAUCGUCGAUUUGGAUGCCGCAUCAUCGAAAACAACUUGGUAGCACGGAGCGCUCCGUGCUACCGAUAGCAUAGUAGCCGGACUCCUAUAUAUAUAUAUAUAUAUAUAUAUACUUUUAAAUGAUUCUCUUUAGCUGUAAGGAUUAUUAUUUUAUUCAUAAAUUAAAUUACUGUCUAUAUAAAUUAUAACAUUCAUAUGAUUAAAUAGGAUUUUAUUAUCAGGUAAAUAAAAUAAUAUAUAAAAAUUAUAAUUAUAUAUAGCAUGUCAUAUAUUGGUUCCGUUUAUUUUUCUGAAAAAAUAAAUUUAGCUAAAAAUAUAAAAUAAUUAAAUUUUAAAUUUAAAAUUUUUGAUGUGUCAACCUUAUGUCCUUAGCCGGUAGAUUUGAUUGUUUAUUUAUUUUAUUUUUUUUUUCGUGGGGUGGUGCACCUAGUGCAUGCAAUAAUAGUUUCUCAUCAAAGGUGAAGAAAGGUCUUUCUUGUUCUUGUGAUUAUGGUCCGUAGGUAGCGCGAAUAAAUACGCGCGUACACCCCCACUUGGCACAAUUGGCAUAACGAGAAAGAGAGAGAUAGAGAGAGAGAGAGGAGGAAAUUAAGAGUGAAAAAAAAGAAAAAAAAAGAAAAAGAAAAAAAAAAAGAGAUGAGUCCGGGUGCGGCGAAGAAGCGAAGCACGCGGAGCUCCCUGAUGGGGCUGGGAUGCGGGUGCAAGGACGCGAAAUCCGUGUCGGUGUCGCUCUCCGCCUCCGACACCUCCACCGCCACCCCGCGCCGCCCCCGACACAACUCCUCCUCCGCCGAAACCCUAACCCUCCCCUCCACCUCCUCUUGCUCCGACGCCGCCGCCGACGACCUCGGCCCCCAAAUCGGGAGCUCCGCGAGCACGCCCAGCUUCUCCGGCCUCCUGCGCGAGCUCGGCGAGCUGGAGCAGAGCGUCAUGUCCCUCCCCACCUCCGCCAUUGUCGACGACGGGGCGGCGGAGGAGAGGAGGAAGAAGAUCCCGAUCCAUCGGCGGGUGGAGGAGGAGAGCGUCGCCGUGGUGAAGGAGUCGGAGGACCCGCUGGGGGACUUCCGGAGGUCCAUGCUGCAGAUGAUCGUCGAGAAGGAGAUCGUCACCGGGGCCGAGCUCCGCGAGCUCCUCCGCCGCUUCCUCGCCCUCAAUUCCCCCCACCACCACGAUCUCAUCCUCCGCGCCUUCGCCGACAUCUGGGACGACGUCUUCGCCGGCUACAACGACCACACCCCCGAUCUCAUCCGCCACACCCACCGCCGGUAUCCCCCGCCGCCUCCUCCGCCAUUCUAAAACCAUAAUAUAACGUACACAUAAUUGGAAAAUCAGUAUUUCCAGCGCCAGAUCAGUGCAUACCAGAUUUAUCAUAUGAUAUCCCACGUAAAAUAUGAAGUGCUCUGAAAAUAUCAAUUCCUCUAUAAAUUUCAUUCAAUUAUUUUCGGUUGUAUAGCAAGUCGAUCGGGCCGGGCAUGCUUACUUUUGAUGUUCAUAUACUGUUAUGUUAGCAUCUGCAUAAUUUGAUCUUCAUUUUUAAUAUGUAUAAUAAUUAUUAUUUUAAUUUAGAUAUUAAUUAGAAAGAGCGGUGCGAGACUUUAUAUGGGUGGUUGAGGUGGAGUGGAAGAGAGGGCGAUUGGAACCUCGUGAGUUAUGCUACUGCCUACUGGUGGUGUUGGUGGUGGGUGGAAAUGACAAAGCGAGAACGAAAACUGAUGCGCAAGUUGGCGUAAUCAUUGGGCCCCCCGUUUGUCCCUCGUAACCGCGAUUUCAAUUGUUAAGCACGAGUUAAUACUGUACUAUUGACUUGACAAGUUUAAGUAAUCAUCAUUACAUAUAUAAUUAUAUAUAUUUGUGUCCGUGGUCUAAACACACGUCUCAGAAAUUUGAGGGAUUUAAGGGAACUAGUAUGGCUAAAAUUAACUUUGAUUUUUCUAAAAUAAAUUUAUUAUUAUAUCUGGUCAUAAUUGAAAAUUUUUCACUAGAAUAAUAAUAAUAAUGUAAACUGCUUUUAUAAUACUAAUUUCCGCGAACUAAUUAAGUAGAUUGAAGUUAAAGAAGGAAAAGUGGUAACCGCAAAUUAAUGAUCAAAACAUCUGGAGGACGAGGACACCUGGGAACCACGAACCGAGCUCGCGCGAACAUCUGCUUUAAGUGAGUCGUACAGUGCCCACGUUGGCACUACACGAAGCCCAAGAUAUUCCGAUAAAUGUUUUUUUUUUCAAUUGGAAAUUGUAUUUUCUUAGGGGUAAAUUUUAAAUGCCACCGUAUAAUUUCGUAUUUUUUACUUUAAUAUACUAUAAUUUAAAGUAUAUUAAUUUAAUAUUCUAUAAUUUUUUUGUCAAUUUUUUGUUAAUUUUUUAUUAAAUCAUAUACAAAAAAUUUCAGAUGCCUCACCUAUAGUUUAUCGAAUAUUCACUUUAAUAUUCUUUAGUUUUAACUUUAUCACUUAUUUAACGGGCAAAAAUUAGUAGAGGGGUUAACAAAAAGAAAAAAAAUAAAAUCACAAGCUACGAAAGUGAUACAUUUUAAACCACAUAAUACUAAAAUAAGAAAGUACCAAACUAUAGGAUGGUAUUUAAAGUUUUCUCAUUUCUUAACACAAUGAUAGUUGCAAGGAGGGGUAAGAGCUGCAAGGAUAAAUCCCACCCCAAAUUUGAUAGAAUGAAAAUUAUGAUGUUAAAAUUUAGCAUUUAACGUAUUAUAUACGAAUUCGCGUACGAAAAAAAAUAUAUAAAUAUAAGCCGUUUUCAUCCUUAUGAUAAAGACGAUGUUAAUAUCUAUUUGUAGUGAGAUAAAGUGAUUUUAUUUUGUUAUUCGUUUAAUUUAUUAUAAAUUUUAUGUUGAGAUUAUAUUUAUAUUUGCUAAAUAUUAAUUUUUAUGGAAUAAAAUAUAGUCAUAUAAAAUUUUAAUACGAAUAUAAAACAUUGGUUACAUUGUAUUCACGGUAAUUCUAAUUUAUAUUUAUAUAUGUAUAUGUAUUAUUAUUACAUACUAUUAUCAAACUAAUAUUUGAAUUUAAACAUUCUUUAGCGAAUAUGACACAAAAUUGGGCAUCCUUUAUAUACCGUAUUUGAGUUCGCAUUUCAAGAAAAUAUAAAUAUAGAUAUAAUUUUGUCAAAAAUCUGACUAAACAGUUUUCACCCCUAAUUGCAAGGGUGAUAAAAUGAAAGAUAAAUUUUUUAUUCUUUUUAAAAAAAAUUAAAAGAUAAAUGUUGAAAUGGUCCACAACAUGCUGGGGUAGUGGACAAGGUCCAGAUAAUAAUUUCUCGUACGUCGCCGGCAAAAGAUGAACGAAGCAGACCUUUUGAGUUAAACAAUGAUGCAGUGAUGUUUUAAUUAUUUGCAAAAGUAGCAUUAUUAAUUAGCUGUCAUUGUUUGUAUACAUCAAACAUUGCUGAGAUGUUUGUGCGGGUCAAAGGAAAAGCAGGGUAAGAUCUAGAGAUGCUCGAGUCCGAGGCAACUUUAGAGAGCUGAUCCAUAUGACCCGUAGUCUUCGUCCAAAUGUGUGUUUGUACGUCGUUGCAGUGGUAUAAACAGUGUUGCAGUGCCUGACACUAUACUAGUUCUGCACAGUUCUUCUAUGUCAAGAUAAAUAGAUGUAGAUACGAGCAUUACAACAGGUAGUCUAUUUUGGACUCUCCCCCUAAUAUUAACAUAACAUCAUUUUUACCUACCAACCGUCUCUAGAGCAAAUGACAAAGAACUUAGAAGUUGGUAUUCGAGAUUCAAAUUUAAAUUUUAAUUAAUUUACAUUUCUAACUAAGUUUAUUUCUAAAUAAAAUAAAUGAAGUGGAUAGCGUACUACCUAUCUCUCAAAAAUAUAUUAUUUUUACCUACCGUCCUUAGAGCAAGUUAGAAAAGACUUUGUGGUUGAUAUCCGGGGUCCAAAGUUCGAAUCCUAAUUGAUUCAUAUUUCUAGCUAAGGGCCUGUUUGUUCGCCCGUAAAAAUUUUUUUUCGAAAAACUCUUUUUACGGAUUUACGUUUUCCGCUCAGAACGAGCUGAAAACGAAAACGCCGCGCCGAAAAAUCGCGGCGUUGGAGAUAAGUUGGAGUUGAGGCGGGGUUCAGCAGGCACGGUCCACGAGAGACACCCCACCUCGUGGACCGCCCGAGAGAGAGGUCCACAGUCAACAGUGACUGUGGACCUCUCUCUCUCCCACAUUUUUUUAUAUAUAAUAUAUAUAUAUAAUAUAUAUAUAUAAUAUAUAUAUAAUAUAUAAUAUAAUAUUAAAUAUGCGUAUUUUAUUUUAAUAUAAAUAUAUUAUAUAUAUAAUAUUUUAUUUAUAAAAAUAUCUAAUAAUUUAUUUUAUAGAUUAUAUAUUAUAUUAUAAUUUUAAAAUUAUUUAAUCUACAUAUAAAAAUUAUAAUAAUAAUAUAUAUAGUAUAUUAAUUAUUAUUAUAUAAUAAUAUAUAUAUAAUAAAAAAUAUAUUAAAUAUGUUUUUAUUUAUUUUUCUUUUCCUUUCAACCAAACAACCUUCAUCGAAAAUUAUUUUUCUUUUUUUACAAACCAAACACUAAGCUACGUAAAAAAAAUUUUCCACCGAAACUUUUUUCCACCGAAAUUUUUUUUUCGCAGUUUUACCUCAAACCAAACAGCCCCUAAAUUUAUUUCUAAAUGAAACAAACGAAGCGAGUAGCGUGCUACCUAUCUCUCAAAAAAAAAAAAAACUAAAUCUCAAAUAUCAUUAUUAAACCCUAUGUAUUAUUAUUACACGCUAAACUCUCAGCUUUAAAUCUUGUAUAUAUACAUUUCAACAUACCAGCAAUAUUAUAGAUUACAAAUUUUGGCAUACAUCUUCAAUAAAUAUAAGCAGAAUUAAAAUUUUCAAAAAAUAUUUAAAAUUAACAAAAUUAAGUCCAACCGGCUUUAUCCUCUUCAACAGUCCGAUCAUACCUAACACGAAGGGGUUAGUUAUGAUUGAGUGUUGGAUCAAGUUGAAAAAUGUCAUGGUCACAUCGAAUUGAUUUUAUUUGAGCAAAUACUACUCUUGGACUCAUAAACUAGCUAGGUGUAUAUUUACUUAAUAUCUUUUGCAUCUCAUGGCUUAUAUUCUCCUACUAGACUAAUUUAAUAUAUAUAUUUUUUCCUAAAAAUCUAAAUGAGUCUUUGUGAAUUCUAAGAAGGGUGAAUUGUAAGAUUUAAACCCCUAGAUGUACAGGCAGCAUUUUGUAAUUUUUUUAGGCCGGCAAUUUAGAGUAAUACUGUCUGUAAACUAGAUGUACAUUUUACAUUAUUUGGCCGAAGACUUUUCACUUAUCGAUUAGUCUUGUCAAUCUUUUUUUUUUUAAAAAAAAUUAAAACUCUUUUAAAUUUUAUAAACCUUGGAUUCAAGAGGUGUGAGAUUUAAAAACACGCGUGCGCGCACACACACACAUAUAUAUACAUACAUGUAGCAUUUUUCGACAAAUUAUUCUAAUUUUCAAGCUUAGUAAUUUUAAUCUAAAAAAUUUAUAACAUUUUGGAUCGCAUUGUCAAAGUAUAGUUUACACUGUUAGCGGAGAGAUGUGUAGUUGAAAGGCUGUUUAUGUACGAGUCAUUUUAUUCUGGUGGCGUAUAUCUUAGGAUUCUUAGCCUAUUGUAGCUAAAAAUGGCAUAUUGAUUAGUUCACUAUACAUUGAUGUAUUAUUGUGAAAUCUCAUUAAUGCCUCCAAGUUUUUAAUUUGUUGAAAUUAAUACAUUGAUAUUCAAUUUUAUUUUAAGGAGCGUUUGGCUAUGCAUGCAUUGGAGUGCGCGUUCACGACACGUAAUAGCGCAUGAAGCUAUACUGGAGAGAAGCUCCGCAAGCAGAGCUGUUUAUAUCCAAAAGUCGUACGGUGCGGUCCUCUCACAGAGCGGCUAAACAUCACUUUAGUCACAAUCCAUUUACAUGAUAAUCUUUAUAACUUAUGUAUUCCGUUACAAUUCACAGUUAAUUAGCAUGGUAAUAUAAGAUUAAGUUAUUUAUCAAAUUUUUAGCAAAAAAUAAUAAGCCGUAUGGCGUGAUAGAAACAAAAAAAUUGAAGCCAGUGCACAGCUACUGUAAAUUAAAAUUUGCUGAAAAAAAAUAAUGUCCCCUACUCACGUGACCAUCACUCACCAGUCACGUGAUUUUGAUCCUAAACAAUUCGAACGUUACCCAUCCUCUAUACUCCAUUCCACUCGAAGCUCAGCAUCCCCAACCAUGGCGACGACGAUCGCCAUGGCCCUAACCCUUCCUCCUCCUCCCUCUCUCGAGCUCGCUCGAGACCUCCGAUGGCGCAACCCCCUCCGCAUCCACCCCCUUCGCCUUCGCCCGCUCCAAGCGUUGCGGCGGGGGGAGUCCUCUCCCCUUCCUCCGACGCUACGAGCCCUCGGCGGGAGCUCCGCCGCCGCUCCCUCCGAGGCGGUUGCUGAGGGUGAAGAAAAGGAGGAAGAGGAGACCUUCACGCUCCUCGCUUCCAUUACGAGUCGAUACAAUGAGAUCACGAUCGUGGAUAGCCCCAAAUCGAGGCUCUUACUCCUCGACAACAGCGGUAAGAACCCACUUCGAUAACCCCAUUGAAUUCCUGUGAGACCCAUCCUGUAUGAUGAGUUUGACGAUAUGGAUUUUGGUAAAAAAUUGUGCAACUAUUACUCCAUUUUCGUAUUCUGAUUCAAAAAAGACGUCCCUCGAAAGAGAGAAGAUGCUCUUGGUUUUUCUCCGGUUUUCCUUUUUAUCUUCUCAUAAUAUACAACAGAUCUCCAGUUAUUUGUGCUCAAGCUUCCCUGGAUUGAUCUAGCUGAUUCAUUAUUGUUAAGAAAACAAUUGGAUGACGAAGACUAAGCCAACAACGAGCUUUCUUAUUUUUUGUCCUUGUUCUGUUUUGAGCACAGGCAACAUUCAUAGCAUGAUUAAGAAGGAGAAUUUGUGGACGGGCUCUUAUUGGGUAAGGGGGUAACUUAUUAAUCCUACCAUCCUUUUUCUUUACAACUAGUAAAGAAAUGGACCAAUUAAUGCUAUUCUGAGAAUCCAGGACAUGAGAUAUUCGAUGUUGUUGAAUCAAUUGUUGGAUGUAAAUCGGCAGCUUUGUCUAUCAUAAUGAGGAUUUUCACCUUUUCAAACUUCUUUGAGGGCUAAUUAUUCCUCUCUAUUAUUUGAAUUUAGCUUAAUGCUGUAAUUUUAAUGUACGAUGCUCAGAGAUGUUCAAAGUUGUUUCCUUCCAUAAUUAUUAACUGAUUGAAUUGUUUACCAUAAUCACUUCUUGUAUCUAUUCUACAUUCUUAUAUCUGUAACUAUAUGUAUGUAAUACAUAUACAUAUACAUCUUUAUGCCUAUAUAUAUAUACACACACACACAUGUGUAUAUGAAUUGUUGAGAAUGUUCUUUACCUGAAAAAUUUAUGCACUUAUGCAUCUGUGAAGACGAAGAAAAGCCCAUUCCAUUAGUUUCUUUAAGAUGAUGAUAGCCAACUUUUGUAGCCUUUAACCGAGACAUGUAUAGCAUGACAACAGGUCUUUAUUAACCAUUACAAAAGGCUGAUAUUACUCAGUAGGGACCUAUGAUAAUCCUAUUAUUACAUAAGAUGGUCAUUUGCUCUUGCAAUUUUUAUUUGGCCAUUAUGCUAUGUGCUGAUUAAUGUAAAUACACAAUAAAGGUUUUUUUUUGUAUUACUUGUUUGUCAUGAUCCAGCCUUUCCUGGCUCUAUUUCUCUCUGUUAUAUAAUGAAAGAUCAUUUUUUUUUUCCUCUUGAUCUGCUUGCAUCCUGUACAGGAUGAGUUUGCAAGUCUUCCUGCUAUCAUUCCACAUGGACCAAUUGCUAUAUUAGGAUUGGUAAAUCAGUCUUAUUCUCAAUUUCUAUAAUCCUUAUAUCUUGCAUUUUAAUAUCCUAGAAGAUGUUUAAAUAACAGCUUUUUUUAAUUUGUCUCUUUCAGGGUGCUGGAACUGCAGCACGGUUGAUGCUCGAAUUAUGGCCUUCAUUGCACCUUAUCGGUUGGGAAAUUGAUGAGACGGUAAGGAACACCACUAUAAGUUGUAAAAUUAUAGCUUGCCAUCUGUAACUUUACCUUCUCAUUCUUUUGAUGACUCCUGAUCAAACUUAAUCUUGUCAAUAUUCUCCGUCCCUUUUUAUGCCUUUCGAUACUAAUCCCUGAUUAGAUUUUACUAGUUGGUUGGAACACUUACCUUCUGAUUGACUUCACAAAAAGAUACUUUUACAUUAUGAAGGACAUGCAGAGCCUUUUUAUGAUUAAUCUGUAAGGAACUCCCUGCAGAAUUCUGCCCUAUAGAAGGCUAGGAAACUUUCGCUAUUUCUGAAAGCUGGGGAAACCGCAGCUCCAGGGCAUACUGUAGCUUCAAUACUGACUGGCUGUAUCGUGGUGCAAUAUCUUUUAGUUAAAUCUUUUAAUAUAAUUGUCCAUCUAGGUCCAUUGAUUGUUGUUUUUGAACUUGGUGUUUUAUUUCACGUAACUUCUUUCAAUAAUAAAAUGUUGUGCACACUCAUUGUGAUGAUACGCGUAUGAUUUACUGCUAGCAAAUGUGUCAAACACACAAUCGACACGUGUAACUACUUUGAUGGAAUCUGUAUCUUUGAUCUUUACUCUUCCUUUUUCAGCCUUCCAUUUUAUGAUUUUGCUAGCUCUUCAAACAUAACAUUCUUAUCAUGAAAUCACUUCUUAUUCAGAUAUGACAUAAAGACUGCUUUCUAACAGUUGAUUUAUAUGGCAAGGGAGUACUUUGGUCUAUCAAAUUUAGAGAAAUGCACCAAGUCUGGUGGCUCACUUUCUGUUCAAAUUGGGGAUGCUCUCUCUCCAUCUGCUACAGUUGAAGGAGGGUUCGCUGGUAAACUAAACUGUCUUAAGACACAUGCACAAUCUAUCGACAGUAAGAUGCUUCUUAUACUUGCAUCAUGUUGAUGUUCUUUAUCUAUGAAUCAGGCUUCUUCCUUGUGAUUUGCCUACGUAUUGUUUGUCUCUUCUCAACAAAUCUAAACAUUCGAUCAUCUAGCAUUGAUAUCCUUAUUGCAUGUGCAUCCCGGGACCCAAACCUUGUUUUUUUGUGGGAACACAGGGCUUUACUAUUGGGUUUGAAUGGUAUAUGGCUUUUGAAUAUUUACUUUAGAAUAAUACUUAAUGCAUGUCGUAUUACAGGUAUUAUCGUGGAUUUAUUUUCCGAUGGAAAGAUUUUACCUCAACUAGAGGAGGUACUUACUUAUUCGGUCUUCUUACUUUCCUCAUUAUGACCUUGUUUGGAUACAUGAAUAUCUUGUUUGGUAUAUCUUGUAGAUUUAUUAAAGAAACUUGUACAUUUGGCAGAUAAGGAGUGUGAUGAAAUGUCGAGAAUUGAAUACCAUAUUAGGUCCUUAAGUCAUUUCUUUGGAUAAAUCACUAGGUAGGUGAAAUAUAUUAUCUUACCAAAUCUUGGCUAUUAAGACAUUUCGAGGAACGAAAAUUCAAAUUCCUUUCUUACAAUUACACUAGUAAAUUCUCAUACCGAAUAAGUUAUCCAAUGAUAAACUUAUUCCGACAUCUAAAUAGGGCCUGAAUGUUUGUAUCCAUUGCACAGCCUAAAUGUUAGCUCGCUAUAUUUAGUUUUGAUAUCUUGGCUGUGUAUAAUUAAAUGAUGUUUCUAUAGCAUUUAGCCUCUUUGAUUUCCUUCAUCUUAACAUGCAGAUAUAAGUGGAUAUGAACAUGAAUGAUCAGCUUGUUUAUCCGUACAAAAGUUAGUUAGUUAGAUGAGUCAUCGUCAUUAUUGUAUCAUCACCUACCCAACCUUUUACCUGUUGGGCCUGUUGGAAAGCUUCUGACAGAUAUGAAGGCUCUGAAAGUAUCGGUAAUCUUUUACAACAGGUUGUUAAUUGACAUAAAAACAUAUUCUUUUCUAAACAUGGCUCAGUAAGAACACCACUCAAAUUAUGAAAAGGCAUAGGAAGAUCAUGGUAUUUGGUUCUCUGUUGACCUGGCACCAAAUUUUAAUGUUUUCUCAUGAUGCAAACCUUAAAUUUAGGCAUCCUUUAACUAAAUGCCAAUAACAUAUAUAUUUUUUCCACUCUUAGGCAACAUUUUUAUGUUCAUCUUGACUCAAUUAGCAUUAAUCAUUUCGUUCUCUCCUCAGUUAUUACUGUGAUUAAAUAUCAUCAGAUUGCUUCUAAGAAUGAGUAUCCUUUCCUUGAAUGUAAGAAAGAUCCAAGAUUAAUGAGCGAUGUCAUUUUUUUUUCCCUUCUUUUGUUUAACAUGUGGUUGAACUAUAAUCCGCUUAUUUAAAUUGUCACAUGUUUCUUUAAUGUCAUUUGAUAGCAAAAUGUACCACAGGUUGAGACAUGGUUGGAAAUUGAGAAAAAGUUGAUGCCGCAUGGUCGGAUCAUGGUAAAUUGCGCUGGAAAAAAUGCUGAAGCAUCUAAUGAUGGAGAUAGAACAGCGCCUACUAAUGUUUUAGCCAUUACAUCUUGGAUGAAGAACUCUACAAUAAAGACACUUUGUCGUGCAUUUCCUGGAAAAGUAUAUGAGUUCUUCUCUCUACACUCAAUUUUGAAAUGUUUCAGAGCAAGGCAAACACAAAAAUAUAGCAUCUUUGACCAAAAAGUAUGAAGUAAAAAUUUGUUUUCUAAACAACCGUUAAUUUGGACAAACUACAAUUUUUGAAAAAAUGAUGCUAAGAGUAGAUAAAUAGGUAACAAUCUUCAAAUUUCAGUUAAGCGUGUGACGCCUAUGGCUAUUAGUAAUUUCCAUUUGUCUUUUCUAACCCAAAGAAGGUACCAAAAUUCAGGUAAGCUGGAAGAAAAUGGAAGGAGAGGAUAACUAUCUUGCGCUCACUGGUCCACCACCAGACUUGGACACUUGGUCAGCUGCCGUGCCGAGCCAGCUGAGCUUGAGUGCCAAACAGUGGAAACCUUGUGAACUGGACUGACGAUGCUUAUGUUCCCUUUCCCUGCACAAAAGGGCCUCCUAUUUGGUUCACAAUCUCCGUUAAUUUGAUCUUUUUGAUCCAUCCAACGGAAACUCUUAUUACUGAAGCAAUAUCUUUCAAUGUGACAAUCGCUAAAGCGGUAUGUUUUCUUUGGUUCCAUUUUCUCUUCUUGCAAGAGAAGUAUUGCACUCUGAUAUGCAAAUACAGGUUUUUUCUUAAUUGUUUUGAACUUCUGUAAGAUGUGCAAUUUUAUGUAGGUGAUUGAUGAAGCGACAGCUUGCCUGCUGCGGCAGCUUGCUUCCAAAAACUGUGGAAUUACUAUCUAUGUUCACCUACUUCGGUCCAACAAAUUUUAAGCUGUGCACGUCCCUAUUUCAGCUCGGCAUUCUCUCUUAGUAAGUAUGCUUCACUGCACCCCUGUUUUCUCGUCAAAAUUUAAAACACAAAAGCGGUAUCAUUGUGAACUCACAAUUUUUAAUAAACACCAGACAAGGAAGUGAACACUGCAUUAUUCCAACAUGUGUUGGUUUUUACGAUUGUAUAUUUCUUGAACAUAAGGAAUCAUUGGCGUCUCUAUUUGGUUUUUACAAUUGUAUAUAUUGUUAUGCAGUUCAUAAAUCUUACGUUGUGAUUAAUUAGAUGCAGUUAUCAAUUCUUGUUCUCUCGUCACUUUACUACUAUCGAACAACAUCACCAUGGUGAUCAUUUGAACUGCUAUGUAAUUGCAACGAACUGUUUCCAAAACUUUAUGUAAUUAUAACAUUGAUUAUUCAAAGGUUAACAUAAAAAUGCUUUGUUUCCAUGCCUCGAUUAGUUUCUUAAGCCUUUCUAUAUCUUGUCUUAAGACCAACUCCUGUGGUUAUGCACAUUAACUGUUCUUCACUGCGCGAGGUGAAGAAGUCGAUGUAAGAGUUUCAUUUUCGUGUCAAAGAUGUUUAUACUGUCAUGGAAAAAAUUGCGAUUGGAAAUUCCGUAGAAGUGUAGUUUGUGUGAAAAUCUUCCUCACCGUGACCUUUAUUAAUGAUUCCAUUUUCGAGUACCCAUAUUAUACUUAUCCAUCCGAUAAGAUAAAUAAUAAUUAUUUUUUGAAAUACCUACAUUAUCUUAUCCAUCCGAUAAGAUAAUUAAAGCAGCUGGGUGUGUAUCAUUUGAUCACUUAAUAAAAGAUAACCAAUUCUAAAGACGUAAUUAAAAAAUAUUUUGAUGCUGGAAGAAGUAAUUUGGUAAUACCAUCUCUAUAAAUUUGGCACCUAUUCAUCCCACGGUCAGUAUUUCACACUUGUCCUAUUAAUAUUUUUUUAAUAUUAAAAAGCUAAAAUGAGUUGUUUAAAUAUUUGGAUUGAGGGUUAUAUAAGAUGUACAUCUAUGUUUUCUUGGAUGUAGUGAUAACAUUUUUCCGAGUAAUUUGGUGAGCAAAUAUUCACGCUUCUAAAAAACGCUUUCACAUCAAUCUAGUUUAUGUGAUUACAUCGGACUUUCAUAUUUUAGCUAUUGUGAGGUCGACCUCCCUAACUUUGGCAAGCAAAAACCAAGAGGAAGUUGGGUCAGGUACAUUAUAACCUAAUUAUUAUUAUCUUAAUUCCCCCACGGUUUUGAUCCUUGAAUCUAAAUAAAUAUGAUACGCAUCAAACAAACAAUAUUGGUAUUAGUUGGUGAGCUGCACAACUAGAACCCACCUAUUAGGGCAAAACCCAGCUCUCCGCUUCAACAAGCCUAGCCUAGUCAAAAAAAGCAUGCCUUUUUCCGAUCACCAACCCUAACCAUGCCCUUGUAGGAGAACAAUAUAAAAGAAGAUCUCAACAGUGGAAGAAAAGUACAAUAUUAUCAAAACAGGGGUUAACCCAAAAAGAAAAGAAAAAACAAACAAAAGAGAAACAUAUUGGGAAAGUGCAUGUUUGCCGAUAUGGAGAGAGCUUUGAUAUGGUGUUGUUGCAUGCUAGCAAUAUUGGGUGCACAAAUAUCAGUCUCAGGAGCUCAGGACUCGGCUUGUUUGAACCAGCUGGUCCCUUGCCUGCAGUACAUCAACUCGAAACAGACUCCCUCGAGCAGCUGCUGCAGCCCUCUCAAGUCGCUCAUCACGUCGGAUCCGCAGUGCCUCUGCAGCAUGCUGACGAGCAACUCCGCGACUCAGCAAGCCGGCGUUAACGUGACUCAGGCCCUGCUCCUGCCCACGAGGUGCGGAGAGAGGGUGAAUGCUGGAUUGUGCACGAGUAAGCGUCUUCGUGGAUCACAGAAAUACUUUUCUAGUUGUUCAUGAGAGUCAUUCGAUUCUUAGGUAUCAAACAACAUAGACAUAUAGUGGCUAGUGUGAGAUUCUAGCCAAUUCCUGGUACUAGUGUGAGUUGCUGAACCAAAUGGUCUCCUCACUCAGAGAUUAACUCAAAAACUUGGGUUGCUUUUAGACUUUAUAAUAUAUUAAAAUGUGCAUGGCUGUGACGCAUAUAUAUGCAUGCUUUUUGCAGGUUCACAAAAGAAGAGGAAUGCAGUUUCAAGCUCCGCGGGCGAGUUGGUAUUUGCAAAUGCAGUGAUGGUUGCUGUGCUGUUGUUCAUUGUUCAGAGCCUGUGGCUUUUACAUGAAUGAUUGGCUGGGAAUGCUUUCUUUUCAAUCCUGCUGGAUUUUAUACAUAGAAAUAACUAUUAUUUGAGCCUCUGUUUUUGUAAGUUCCGAUUCUUGUAUUUGGUUGUAAUCAUUUGACAAAAAUAAUAUAUUCUUUUCAGUGGUAAAAUGAUAUGAAAAUUGAGGUUGCCAAUUUACAUCUUUUACUAAAGCAAUGCUAGCAGCACACCUACAUUCUAGCCAUAAAUUUUAUACCUUAAGCUUUCUCUGUAACUAGAAUUCAUUCACUAGUCUUAUCAAAAAAAAAUAUAUUUUUCCCACUAAAGAUCCAAAAUUUUUUCUAAAUCUUAGAAUUCAAGGGUGUAAGAUACACGUUUCUAUAUAGGAUAUACAUAUAACAUUUUUCUAUUUACUAAGAGAGUGUUUGGUUCCUCGAAAAAGUACGAAAGAAAUUUUUUCAAGAUAAAAGUUUUCUAUGAAAAAUACUUUUUUCCACAAUUUUUCUUUUUCCCGAUAAAAAAAAAAUCAGAAAACAAAGGUAAUAAUUUUUAAAAAAAUUUUAUAUUCUAGGAACCAUGCGGACGAAAAUUACCUUUCCAACCAAAAUAUUAUUAUCUAAUAUAUUUUUCGAAAAACCAAACACCCUAAGGCCCAUAUUGAGAAUAUAGCUCUUAAAAAUUAGCAAUUCCGAAUUACUCCAUGCAUUAGCACAAAAGUAGGAAGAACCCUAAAAACAAAGUACAUAGAAAGACAAUGUGCAAAAAAAACUGUCUACAUAUUGCACAUCUCAGAUUACAGAGUCAUAUCUAGCAUUUAUGCGCUUACAAAAGAGAGAUCUCAAAAAGUUGCCAAAUAUACAGAAAUCAAAUUUUAUCACUCACAUAAGCAGAAUAAAAGACUGCCAAAACACCGAGAGAAAGGCCCAGCAGAAGUCCGGAUGGCACAAAUUUUCGAGUGUUAGCCAACCGUAUACCUGUAAAUGCGAAACAAACAGUUAAUUACGUAUUCUAUUAUGCCUUCAUGAGUGCUUAAAAAACAACACGAAUGUGAAGAAAGGAUUAUACCAAAUACAGAAGCAAAGAGUAAUGCGGAUCCGAACCCAAUUGCAUCACCUACUUCCUUCGUCUCAGGCGAUUGCAUCAGGUAAUAGGCCUACAUAGAGAUUAAUAUCCAAUAAGCUAAAUGACGAAUGAUACUAAUAAGCUACUAAAAAAGGCAUUAAGCCGCAAUAUAUUAAUAACGAGAGUUCUCAGGCUAGAGCACAAUAGUUGUAUUGUUAGAAUGAAGGCGGAGAAAUAAUUUCUCCCAUGAUUACAUUUCAUUAAGAAGUGAGAAAGUGAGAGAUGAUUGCUUGCGAAAAACUUGUUGAGAGAGCAUCUAACAAUUAUUGUGUUGAUUCACAAUAAUCUAACCAACCGUCCCUAGAGCAAGUGGCAAAGGACUUGGUGGUUGGAACCUAAGACCCAAGUUCGAAUCCUAGUUGAUUCAUAUUUCCAGCUAAGUUUAUUUCUAAAUGAAAUAAACGAAGCGGGUAGCGUGCUACCUAUUUCUCAAAUGCAUGCAACUCUAUUCUCACUAGACUGAAGCCACCGUAAAAACGCACAGAUGAGGCAUUUCGCUGAGUAACUAAGGCUAUUUGACAGCCGAGUUAGGUUAGGUAGCAAUUAUAAACCUUAACGCGAUGCAUUAUAGACUGAAAAUUCUCAGGCUUCGUUUGGAACUAUGGGGAGACGAGAAAAAUAUUCAGUUUGUUUCCAUAGACAAUACCAAUAACCAUUGUGUAGAUCGCAACAGUUUUUUUUUCCCUCCCUGAAACAUAUCCUAGAAUUAGAUCUUCAUUAUCUAAACGGACCCGGAACAUACCGUUGGGAAGUGAUUCAGUAAUUAAACCCUCAUGAAUCAAUUUUUGUUCUUUCAUUCCAGGUAACCUCCUUGAAGUAUCAACUAAUGGAGGAAGAGUUAUAUAACUCACUUUUCCUCUCUAUUUUACAAAUAGGAAGUUAGAGAUCAAAUUCGGAUACCAGAGGUGGAAGAUUACCAUAUAUAACACAAAAUUUCUCCUCCAGUUUUUUUUUCUCAACUCUUUUAUGCUUAAUAGGAGUUAGAAUGUGAUCAAUAACAGCUAAAGCUGGCAAAAAAACACUUGUCCUGUAAAUCCAGUCCAAAUGUACUGAGAUUCAAUAGUAAAUAGUGAAUAAUAGAUAGCAGAUGCGUCUUUGGAGUUUACAUUCUCUUUGUUUAGACAAAGAAUAUUGCGGGAAAAGUCAAUCUAAAAAAAAAAAAAAGGGGAAAAAAAAACCACACAAAAGCAGAAGAACAGCUACUUAAUUACCACAGCCAUAAGAGCAGAUCCGGAGAGUCCUCCGAGAAUGGAUCCUUUGCUCCCCGAUCUCAAAUCUACGACAAACUCACAGGGUAAGAGAUCAAUCGCUCGAGCAAAAUAAAUAAACACAACAAAUGAAAAACAAGAAGAGCGAGAGAGAGAGAGAGAGAGAGAGGAGUGAGUGCGCACAAGCGAAGAGGCCGCCGCCGAGGAGGAGGGUGCCGUAGGCGGCGGAGGCGGCUGGGGCGAGGUCGGCGAGGAGCUGCGCGCCGCAGCGGCGGAGGCGGCGCAGAGGAAGGGGAAGGAGCGAGACGGCGCUCUUCCGGUCGAGGAGGAGAGAAGAGGGGGAAGGGGAAGCGAGGGGGCCGCGGAGGAGAGACGAAGCGUACGCCACCGGCGAGGCCGACAUAGCGCCCCUGCGAUGGUUUUCCCCGCGGAGGGUCGGCUGAGUCGAGCAGCGGCGGAUGAGGGACAUGCCAGACCUCACGGGUCAAACACCUUCCGCCCUGCAGCCGCACGUGACGCAACCAUACUAUUCACGAAAAUAUAUAUUAUUAUAUAUUAUAUAUAUAAAAGGGCAAUUACUUAUAUAUUUUUAAAAAAUUUUUGACUCCCUUAUUUAUCUUUCUUAAAAAAUUAAUAUUAAAAAUAUCUUUUUUACAUUUCAACCUAUUUCAAAUAUACUUCUAGUAUUUUGAUUUUUGAUCUUUUCAAAUAGACCCUUCUACCGUUAUCAAUAUUUCUUAUUUGUUCUUAAGUUAAAGGCAUAAUUGGUAUUUUAAUUUUUUUUAACUGUGAUAAAUAUUUAACUCACGUUUAACCCAUAUUUACUUAACAGUAGAUAAUUGUGGGAGUAUUUUAUAAUAACGGUGGAACAUAUGAAAAAUAUUUUAGAAAAAAAAAAAAAAUAUAAAUAAAUCAAAUAUUUUCAAACGUAUAAAAAUAUAUAGACAAUUAUUCCUAUAAAAAAUAUUCUUAACUAACCUUACUAUGUAUGUAUGUACUGUGUAAGGGCCUUUUGGCUGACGUAAUUGAAAACACAGUAGAGCCGGAGAUGCUUAUAGUUAAAAGAGAAAUACUAGUAGUACACCCAAGAGGGAUGUACAUUUUACAUUUUAUUCAUCUUUAAAUAAAAUUUAUCUAUCGAUAUGAUCGAUGGAUUAUACUAUACUCUAGAAUAUAUGAUGUAAGAUAUAUACUCACUAAUAAUUUCCUAAUUAUUAAUAUCUUAGGUAUAAAUAAAGCAAGUACUAUUAGGAGUACAAUAAUUCUUGUAUUUUUAACUUUUUAAUUGUCUAUCAAUUGUGACGAAUAAUUAGGAUAAGAAAGAGAAAAGAAAUUGAAGAGAAAUUCAAAGAAAAUAAAAAUUGAAUGUAGUUGAAAUGUAUAAUUUUAAAAUUUUGUCGUUUUAUUUAUAUGGUAAUGAGAUUAUCGCCAAUAUAAAAUAAAAAUUAUUUUGUAUUUAAAAAGUAAUUACAAAGGAAAACUUACGUUUGGUUUAAAAUUAUUCUCUUUAAUUGUUGCAGUUAAAAUUAUAGCUAAUUUGAGCGUAGUUUUUAUCUGUAGUAGUUAAAUUAAAAUACAUCAAAUCAAACACCGAAUUAGAAUAUAAAUAUAUUUUCAACUAUAUUGUAAUUAUAACUAUAUAUAAUGAAACAACUCUAAGAUGAAAAAUGAUCGAAUGAAAAAUAUAUUAAAAUAAUAUUUUAAAAUUGUAAUAUAGAAAUCUUUAUUACAUAUUGUUAUCUUUAUAUGAAAUAUAUGUGAUAAAAAUUAAAGACUACAAACUUCUUAAACUUGGAGCUUUUUCUCAUUUACACUUUACUACUAUCCAAAAUUUUCAAGCAUAUUCUAAAAAAUUAUCAAAAUAUCUUUUUAAAAUUCAAUCUCAUUACUAAACCUUAGGAGAAAGAGAGAUAUUUGAAGAAAUUUUUUAAAAUCAACAAGAGCAAUUUGGUCGUUCAGAAAUAAAUAAGAUAUUUUUAAAAUUUUAAAGAAUAUAUUAGAUAUUUUUAGCCCAACAAAUUUUAAGAGAAAUAAAAUAAUAUGAAAUGCAAUGCAUUUUUUUUCACUUUUAAAUUUCACUAAAAAAGAUGCAUCGGAGAGGAGCACUAGUGUGUAGAAUAUUUUUGUACGUGAGAAUUGUAAGAUAUUCUUUAUAAAAGCCACUUUUUAUAAAUAGCAGGAGGACAAACCUUUCUAGAAAGCACCGCGUUACAUGGGAUAAAAAUUUUAUGGACAUUGUGUCCAUCUAAAGCAAUUUGGGGAUGUCAUGGAAGGAAUGCCGCAUGGCACCUACCCCACGAGUUUUUUUUCUGGUGAACCUGGUGCAUCGUUUUUUUACUUUAAAAUUUUAUUUUUUACUUUUUAAUUAUAAUUAAAUAUAACAUAUAUAUUAUAUAUUUUAAAAAUAUAUGUAAAAAAAUUUAUAGUUUAGGAUUUAAAAUUCUUUUACAUAUAUUUUUAAAUGUCAUAAAAUAUAUCUCUAUUAUUAUAUUAAAUUAUAAUUAAAAAUAAAAAAAUAAUUUUAGAGUAAAAAACGGUGCACCAGGUGCACCAGAACAAAUCCCAGUGCUCUUCAAAAUGGCCGAGCAGCGGUGGCACGUGGCGGGUUACACGGCGCCCAUCGGAAAAGUCCGGGUGCCACAUGGCAUUCAUCUGCAUCAUCCCCAAAUUAGUAUAUGCGGACAUAGUGUCCAUAAAAUUUUUGUCCCGUUACAUGUCCUUGGAUAACACCAGUAAAUGAAUGCGACAAUUAAUUGCUGUGCUUCUUGCUUUUAUUUUUCCAAAUUUUCAUUGUUCUCUCUUUUUUUUUUAUUUGAAAUAGAUGUAAAGUUUUUUGUUUUGAGAGAAAGAUAGCGUGCUAUAUGUUUCGUUUAUUUUAUUUAAAAAUAAAUUAGUUAGAAAUAUAAAUCAACUAGGAUUCGAACUUGAGUCUCGAGUACCAACCACCAAGCCCUUUAAACAUUUGCUCUAAGGAUGUAAAGUUAUUACGAACGACAUAGAAUUUAUAUAAUUACGCAACUUGAAACCACACUCUUUAGAAUUCGGUUCAGGUAUGAUUCGGAAACAAUAGUAUUAUUCCAUCCAAAUUGACAUGCAAACUACAAGUGUUCAAGAAGAUAAACCAACAUAAUCAGAUCUAUUUAUUUCUUGCGUGUGUAUAUCUGUAGGAAAUAAAUUAAUUCUAACAUUCUUCGCCCUACAUCUAUAUUCUUAAUUGGAAUGAAUGAAUUUCGGUCAAUUUUCGUAAUUCAUGCAUCCCAAAAAAUGAAAAAAAAGGAAACAAGAAGAUCGAGCAGGAGUUCCUACUCCAGAAGUAAGAUUAUGUAUGUAGCAGCAAAUGCUCAUGUGGUGGCAUGAACAAGCGGGGACUGCGGCGACAUCAGGGACGGGCUACGGCUGAUCUCGACUUCGAACCUCCUCGGCAAAUCUAUUCUCAAGACCGAAUUAUCCCAUUUCUUCUUCUUCUUCACCAUCCUCGCCUCCGCAUUGGCCCUGUUAAUGCGGCACACGAAAGUCCUGAUCCUCUUAAGCGCGACCCGCGUCGUGUCGUCGUCCAUAUUCGCGAUGCAGACCCUGAACCAACCUGGCUCGGCGCAAUGAAACGACGAACCGGGGGACACAUUGAGCUUGACAUUGUUCACUAUCACGCGCCACAGCUCGAGCUCGCCGUCUUCGGUGGCUUCUUUGAGGAGGUGCCGUAGGUCCAUCCAGCAGAAGACCCCGGCAUUGCCGUCCAAGCAGCGGAUGCCGACUUCCUCAAGGCCGGAAGAGAAGAUCCUGUGCCUCUCCGACAGCCUCUUCGCGCUUUCAGUCAGUAAUGUUGCCAAAAAUUCUUCGUCGGAUAGCAUGGCGCCCAGUAGGUGCUGUGUCUGCGACGAGACGAGGCCGAAGCUCGACAUUCUGCGUGCGCAACUAACCACCGUGUCGUUGUAGGAAUACACGAUCCCGACUCGGAAUCCGGGGAGGCCGAAGUCCUUUGAGAGACUGUACGCAAUGUGGAUCAGAUUCUUGUCGCAGUUCGGGUCCUCUUCUAUUACCUCGGAGAUGCUGACGAACCUGGGCUCCCUAAAGAUGGUUGCGCCGUAUAACUCGUCGCAGACUAGGUGGAUUCUCCUUUCGUUUACGAAUUUCACGAGGGUCUGUAGCGUGUGUUUAUCCAUGGUCGUGCCGAGCGGGUUGGAUGGGUUGGUUAUCAGUACUCCUUUUACUCUGAUGUUAUCCUUUCGCGCCUUCUCGUAUGCCGAUUCUAGCGCCGUUUUGGUGACUCUGAAGUGAUUAGAGCUCUUGCAGUGAACCGGGAGGAGCUCGACGCCCGUUCUCCACCGGAGAUCGCGAUUAAAUCUGUUUAAUUACAGCAUCAUGAGCAAUUGAAAAGAGAACUUCAAAAGAGAGUAGUUUCAGGAAACGAAAACAGUCAGAAUUCUAGAUAACUACACACUCUCUGUGCUCAUAUAUUCGUCCUAAUAGUUUGUUAAUUAAUUAAGCAGAGGUUUGACAAACGGAAAAUUUUAAGAUUUUUCAAUGUUAGGAAGUCUAAAGAAUUUUUGGAUCCUGAAAUGGAUGCUACAAAUUUAGGCAUCUCCUUCUACUACUUGCCGAAUUAUAUAUCAGAGGCUUAUGAUAAAAAAAAUCAUUGAUAUUUGUUUCAAUAAUUUUACAAAAGCAGCACUUUUUCCUUUACUAUAAGAUUAUUAUUAUUUUUUUAUCUUUAAUAUUUGACUAGCAUUAAAGAAGGAACCUUUUGAUAUCCCAGAUGCCUAAACACGAGAACUGAGAACUUACAGUUCCCACAACUUCAAAAGAGCUAUAUAAUUUUUUAGCAGAUAAAAAUUAAAGGAGGGCUAUAUAUGGUUACUUCAAAUUUAUGAGAGGCAACUGAUUUGGUUACGUAGAGCUGAUGAUCUUACGCUGGAUAGUACGGAGUUGGGACGAGGAAGGCGUCGCCAGGGUCAGCGAGACAAAACGCGAGCGUUUCUUGCGCUCCAGUGCCUCCGCCGCUCAUCACCACGCGGUUCGGAUCGAAUUUGACCCUUCCUCCUCUCACUUUCUCCAUCAAUUUCGCGAUUCCCUGCGUGUUUUGACAUAUCACAUCAGUAUACAUACCUAACUUGCGAUCGCAAAUAGACUCAUCUGCUGAUCGAUGGUCCACGAAUGCGACAUGUCCAUUAAAAUAUUAGAAUGAUUGAUCGUCUCGUCUCUAAGUUUUACUUUAUAUAUGAUGACAGCUGUGAAAUACUUACGAGUCGCCCACGACAACUAUACGUACUAACUGUAACCGGAUCCUUUAUUCGUCGCCUUUUUUUUGUCCUCGAAACUCAUUUAAGGAUGUUGACAAUCGUACAAAGGUGGUAGGCCUACACCACUUGUAUACUAAUAGUGAGAAAUGUUUUUUUUUAAAAAAAAAUUAUUGCUUGGACCGUAAGAUAGUUUGUUGAUUUGGUGGUUGAAAUGAUUAUUAAUUUGGUAGCUGAUAAAAAGAAUACAAUAUAUAAUAAGCUUUUUCGUAUUAGCUUUUUAAUUUAAUUCAAGUUAAGAGUAAAGUAAUUGAGAGGAUUAAGAUCACUUUGACCACACUUGACAUGAUUUUCAUUUUUUUUUUUUUUUUUUUUUUUUGUACGUUCCAAUUUCAUUUUCAUUAGUGUUCACCUGCAGAAAAGCCGGCAAGCCAUGGUAGUCUUGGAAAUUGGCGAUCUCCAUGAACUGCGGCAGGCCCUCCGCCGAGCAAAUGGAGGCCUCCGGGUGAUUCUUGAUCCACUCACGUAUUAACUCCAGCGAAAGCUGCAAUAAUAGAAAAAAGAAGAAAAAAAAAAAAAAAACACAUAUCCAACACUAGUUAAUUAGUCUUAUAUAUACACAAGAAUGAUAGCAAAACAUAAGCAAAAUGCGCAAUAUAUAUAUAUAUACAUAUAUAUACACACAGACGUACCUGGUUCUCGGAGAGUCCCAUUUGGAUUACGCCCCCAGGAUUAUGUCUCGGGUGGAAGGGAUCGUUCUCGUAGGCCUUCCAGCCGUCAAAGUAAGGCGAAUCCUCGCCGUGGCGGCCGUUGGUGGCGAUGCGCGAAAGAAGGCCAUCGUUGCGCCCCAUCAGCAAUCACCAAAAUAGUAGUCGAGGUCGAAUGAUCGCCAAAAGAGAGAAGGGAGGAGAGGGCGGGGGAUCGAUCGAGUGGGAUAAAUGGAGAUCGAGGGAUUUUGGCGUACUUAUAUAGUAGAGGCAAUAGUGGCUGAAAACCGAGUACGUGAGGUUCUUGUGGUCUGGACGUUGAAAUGCGUAUGAAUAUAUAUAUAUAUAUAUAUAUAGGAUUUAAUUAACAUAAAUAUUUGGUGCUAUUUAGAGGAGAAAUUCUGAGUCAGUUGGUGAGCUUCGGGGAAAGAAGAGUGGGGUGGGGGGGGGCUGCGUCGAAGUCGGAUUAGCUGCGGGGAUGUAGCGUCGGCGCUGACGCUUAGAUCGGAGACUACGCUGCAGCCUGCUAGCGCGCAACAUUGUCAUCGUGGUCCCCCAAUUAACUUGUCAUUCACUACUGUUUUCUUUUCUUUUUUUAAAAAAAUAUAUAAACUUUCAAGACUUUUGCUUAUAUAUUUUUUUUUACCACCAUUCAAAAAAUUUUAAAAUUUAUUAUUUUUUUUUCUUAAAGUACCCUUCUAAAUUCUAAAAUAUAUUAGUAAACUCUUAGGAUAGUGUUAGAUAUGUCUUGAAUUCUAAAAUUGCAAGGUGUUUUCUAAUUCUAUUUUAUUUUGAUUACUCAUUAAGUUAAUUUUAGAUUAUACCUAAUCUUAUUGAGAUAUUUCUAAUUUUAGUAGAUUUAUAUUUCUAACUAUAUUAGGAUUUAACCACUAUUAUAAAUAUACCUUUUAUUCUAUUAAUUUAGUGCGGCAAAUAAGAAAGAGUAUGAGUGUAUUUUUGAAAUUAGACUUUUCUAAGAGAAACAUAUUUUGUAUACCACUUUAAUUACAAUGAAAAUCUUUGCUUCGUUUUCGCCCGUGGACGUAGGCCGGUGGCCAAACCAUAUAAAUAUUGUGUAUUUUAUUUUUCUUCUCUCUUUCUCGUAUUUAUCUUGCUAUUUUUGAAUCCAAUGAACUAGAUCUUUUCGAUUUUUGUCAUAAUAGAUAGAAAUAUAUUUGAAAAAAAAAUUGUACCUAGAAAAAAUAUUUUUAUCGAUAAAAAAUAAAUUAAAUAGUUUUAAAGUUUUAAAAAGUAUAUUAAAUAUUAUUUAUAAAUAAUAUGUAAUUAAAUACACGAGUGGAUAAGUCUGCUUUUAUAUUGUUCCCCUUAUUAUGUUAGAUUGCAUUUAUUUUUCCUUUUAUUGCUCGAUUGUAUGGUUACAAUUUCUUCAAAAAUGCUGAAGCAGUAAAAAAAAAACCUUAAAUUAUUUUUAAAUUUCUACUGUUUGUUGUCAAACAAAAUAUAGCAUGCAAGGACCGCAAGCAAUCAACUACUACCCACUCCUAUAUUUCUUAUCAGGACUUGAUCUUCUGAAAGCAUACUACGUUCGACCACUUAAAUCGGACAGCACUUGGAAGGAUGGAGAGCUCUUUAGGAAUGCUUCUUCCCGAUCUAGACUUUCAAAAUGACCAAACUCUCUUAUAAAACAUUACUGAAUAACUACUACCAAAAACUAGCGAACUUUUGUUACCAAACUACUCUUAUUACAUAAUGCUACCUAGGCUAUUUCUACCAAAAACUACUUGUAUUGUUUCUUUAAGUUCUUCUGAAAAGUUGAAUUGUGUCAUGGAAAAAAAAAAUUCCUCCUCUCCUCAUAAGUAUUUGUAGUUGGUGGACAUACCAUGGCCUCCCCAAAGUUUACAUAUUUGCCAUAAAUUUAAUAUGUAUAAACUCUCGAAUUGUAUAAAUUUCUACCUUAAAAUCUUACUAAAAUUAUUUAUUCGCUUCUUUUAUAUGAAAUACUUCACACAACUUUUCUUAUUUUAAAUCUUAUAGUUAUCGAAUAUCUAUUCUCAUAUGGUUAAACUCUUCUAAUUUGCAAAGCUGAUUAUACAUGUACUACACCCUGCAAUGUUUAAUUUCUGGCUUUGCUCCUGUUUAUCGCUCCUUAUCUUCAAACCCCAGUCAAAUUCCGAAAUUAACAGAUGUGGUUGUUACCCGCCUUAUAUCGAAUGAAUAUAAACGGCUAAUAUAAUUUUUUCACUCGUUAAAUUUGAUGACCGAAAUGUCACGUCAACAAUAGCAAUAAUGACGGACAGGGCCUUAAUUUUAAUUACAGAUCACUUUAUUUCUAUUAUGAUUCAAAAUCCCACCCAUCAUUCACAUCCUAGCUAUUAAUUAUCUUUUUAUUCAAAAAAUGUACCAAUAAAUUUUAUUUUGUUAGUAUUCUGUUCUCCCGAGUCGGACUCGAGAAUGAUGAUACGAACAUGGAAAAAGAAAAAGAAAAAGAAAAAGAAAAAGAAAAAGUCGUCUCAUAAUCUUCCAGCUGGAUCAAAAGUUUUAUAAGAUCUGCCACGUAGAAACAACCAACGUAUAGGCAAAAAAUUAUGUUGUGCUACAAUCUUCCAGGUGGAACAAAUGACUAAUAAGACGUGUCACGUGUUAACUAGCUAGGGGGAUCUCCAGGUCACAGGCUUGGCAUUCAGUCUGAAAGAUUUUGAAUGGCACACGCCGUUAAAGGCACAAUAGACCUGGAAAUUCCAUACAUUCUAAGUCAAUCUCUAUAUAUAUAUAUAUAUAUAUAUUAGUAUAUAUAUAUAUAUAUAUAUAUAUACUAUAUAUAUUAUAUAUAGUUGAGCUAGAAUAUUGUAAAGUAUUAUAUGAAUGAUGCUUUUGAGUUUUUAACCAAUUGGACUGGAGAGAUGUGAGGUUGAGAUGAUGGUGGUACAUGUGAUAAUGAAUAGUGUUUGAUUCAAGAACUCUUAAUAAUCAAGGAGUAGAUCCAAUGGCUAAAAACCUAAUAGCAUUAUAGAGAUAAUACUGUAAAAACAUAUUCUAGCUCAAUAGCUCAAUUCUAUAUAUAUAUAUAUUAUAUAUAUAUAUAUAUAUAUAUAUGUUUAAAUAGCUUUCGAAGUAUACAUUGAUGUUCGUACAUCCAAAGCCUUUGACGUACCCUCCUUAUUUCCACGUUGGAUCGCACUAGGAAAUUAUUUCGAUCUGCUGGUCACGAGGGUCGGACAAAUGAAACGUAUAAAAUUAAUCUUAAGUAUUGUUUAUCUUAAUCAAAUUAUUUAAAAUUAAAAUUUUUAAUCUAGUCAUCUAAUCUUUUAAUAUUUUAUUUUUAGCCGUUAAUAAUUCUUUUAUUUCAAAUUUAUGUUCUCUAUAUAAUUUGUAUACUAUAAAUUUGUAGUAGGAGAGCCAUUAAAUAAUUUAUAUUAAAUGAAUUGAUAGAUUGAAAACUAAAUUUAAAAUUUUAAAGUAUUAAUGUCGAGUCAAAAUAAUAAAAAUUUUGAAUAAGUUAUAUAUAUUUUAAACUUACCAAAUCUAUAUAUGCAUGUGAUACUUAGUUAUUUAAAAUUUUGUACAAAAGUAUCUAAAAAGUGGUAUUCAGAACUUGCACAGUUGCACGAUAUGACCGAGUGUUUUUUUUUUUUUUUUUUUUUUUUUUUUUUGAGUCCAGUAGACCUAUUCAAACAAUCUUUCCAAAUAUAGAUAUUUUUUUAUUCAAAAAGCCGAAAACUCAAAACGCUUCACUAAUAACCGCACAUAUGAAUCUCGAAUCUCAGACUUAUUAGAUCAACUAUCAGAUACUGACUUUUUUUUUUUUUUUUGAGAGAUAGGUAACACACAAAUACACACAAAUGAAUGCUCGAAUCUCAGACUUAUUAGAUCAACUACCAGAUACCGACUUUUUUUCUAUUUUGAGAGAUAGGUAACACGCUAUCCGCUUCGUUUAUUUCAUUUAGAAAUAAACUUAGCUAGAAAUGUGAAUCAAUUAGGAUUCGAACUUAGGUCUCGGGUACCAACUAGCAAAUUCUUUGCCAUUUGCUCUAGGGACGGUCGGUAAUACCGACUUAUUAACUUUGCUACUUAAUGCUGGUACAUUAGUUAUUUCUUUCGUGAGUGUUCACAGUCUAGAUCCAAAUUGAAAACCAAGCAGAACCAAACCAAAUAAGCUAAUUUGGUUCGAUUAAAUUACUUUUCGAUUCAAUUCCUCUGGAAUGUUUGUGAAAUUUUAAUUUUCAAUUUCGAUUCGAUUUGGACAUAUGUACUAACUGAAUCGAAAUAGUGACUGAAUAGCUAUAUAUAAAUAUGUAUACAUAGAUUAAAUAAUAAUUUGACGCUAGUGUUGGUGCUUUCAUCUUUUAAUUUUUUUCGACUUUUUUAUUUCAUAAUCCCUGUACAUUAUUAAUCCACAUGUUAUCGAUAACUUAAUUACUUUUGUUGUUAAUCAGUGCCAAUUGAUCUAUUUGGUGUUGAAAAGUUGACAGACUUUUUUUUUUUUCCCUCAAACUGGACCAAACCCAAUAUUCGAUUCGGUUUAAAUUUAACAAACUAAAACAAUUCAAUUCGAUUCAAAAAAUAUAAGAUAAAUCGAGCCAAAUUCCAUUUACAAGAAAUAUUUUUGGCAUAUUAUAUGUUUGACUAAUGUCCCGUACGUAGACAAUUGAGGUUGUAGCUCCGUACACUCGUGAUGUUGGACUUAAUUACAGAGACAAAAAGUAAACAAAAUGGACUAAAUUAAUUAACAACGCGUUGAAUAGAAAGUAAUUUCUAUUUUCGUGCCGUUGACUGCUGUCCUAUAUUGACAAUUAAUUACAAUUAGUUAGGUUUGAUUUAUACGUAUAGAGAUUCACACAAAUUAAAGUGGCGUAUUUUUUUAGCUGUGAUUUCCAUAUAAUAUUAAUUUAGCCAAUGAUUUUUUUUAAUUUCACUAUAAUUCUUAAAAAAUAGCAUUUAUCAUAUGUGCAAGUAUUCUAGUAGUCCUUAUACUUAGUUUAGACUUAUAAUAUAAUAUAUAUUUUUAUAACCGACUCCUCACAAUAUGCGGAACGCAAUAUUACAUACGAAAACAAAUAAGAUAUUUUUUCAUCGUACUUUCUUACCACACGUAACGCAAUCUUUCCGCAAUUCUAAACGAAGCUUUAAUUUGUACUUACGCGCGGAAGUAACUAUGUUUGGACAUCCCAAUUAAUGUUGACAUUAGCUCAACGGAAAUAAAGGGGGCUUUUGUGUCUUAAGAAUGUUUUUAUCGAAAAAAAAAUAUUGAUCUACUUUGCGGACCGUUUGAUUGGAUAUAAGUAGAAUACAGUAUAAUUGAAGAUAUAUGCACUUAGAGAUUAUGUGGUUACAACUAUACAUAUUUCGUUUGGUUGGAUCCACUAGAACGCACUGCAAGUAUAAAUUAUUUAUUUCGUUGGAUAUAGUUAAGAAGUGCAUUUGAAAAAUAUUAUUAUUUUAUAUUUAUGGUGGUUAGAUUACUUCCAAAAUAGAAAAGAAAUAUAUUUUUCAUUUAAAAAAUAAUUAGGGAGAUGAGUUUUUUUUUAAAAAAAAGUUAAUCUCUCCGACCGUCACAGUUGGAAUUAUGACCAAUUUGAAUAUAAUUUCAAUUGCUAUUGUAUAACCUAAACACAUCAAACUAAAUAUCAUAUUUAAAAAUCUACGUAGUUUCAAUUACAAUAUAGUUACAAUUACAAAUAAUCAAACAGCCCUAAAACAAGUUUCAGUGGGAAAAAGGUUUGUACCUUUGACCAAGUUGCAUCAUGGGGUCUAAGUUGAAAAUUAAUUUGUUGAAUACCAUUACAAAGGAGUGGAUAUUGAUUGGCCAAAUUUCUUUAUCGAAAUUCCUACCACGAGGAGUAAUACCCAGCUCAAAUAUUGAGUUUAAAUACAUGAAAGCAUUACUACAGGCACGAAAUUAAUGCACCAGCGCGGUGGCUCAAUUACACAUUUUCCAAAUUUUAAUUUAUUUACUGUUCUAAUGUAAGCUGAAAAGUAAGCAUCUAAGACUGCGUUUGGUGCCGGAGAUAUUCCGGAACAACACGGGAUAUUCUCCAAGUUGUAACCAAACCGUUAGAAAAACAUGAGGAAACGGAUGUUUGGUGUCAAACGGAUUGUUUGAAAUUGUUCUGGAGUAACCUGCUUUAAACAAUUAUAUUCCUAGGAGAACUGAGAACAAUUUUGUUCUUCUCUUUAUUUUUAUUAGGUAAAUAGAUUGCGAAAAUAAAUAUAUAAUAUAAAUAUUAUUUUUUUGAUAAUAUAUUUAUAUUUAUAAUAUUAUUAUAUAGUAUAAAUUAUUAAUAUUGAAUAUCUAUUUAUUUUAUUAUUUAUUAUUAUAUAUUAUAUUUAAAAUAUUUUAUUAUAUUAAGUAUAUAUAUAUAUAAAAAUUAUUUUUUCAUGCACUAUAUAUUUUUUAAAUUUGUUUUGAAACUUAUUACUAUUAUUAAUUAAAUCCUAUAAUGGAUACUACAUAGUAUUAUGAAUAAAUUAUAUAAAAUAAAUAUUUAUAUUAUAUAUAGUAAAUAAAUAUACUAUUUUAAAUUAAAUUGUUACAUAAAUAUUACAAAUUACUAUAAGAAAUAUUUAUAAAUAAUUUUUAUAUUAAAUACACUAAUAUAAAUUAAUUAUUUUAUUUUUAAAAUAUAUUCAAAUAUUGUUCUACGCUUUUUAUUCAAACGUACUAAGCGAUAUCAUUUUAAGAAUAUCUCCGGAAUACAUCAACUAAUUUAUAAAUUGCUUCUAUCUUAUAUCAGAAAUUUUCGAAAGACAACAAAAAUUAUUCUCCAAAAUUGUUCUCUCCACUAACACUGCCUAAAAUCAAAGAACAUUCUAGCUAUAACCUGUUAAGUAGUUCUAUGUACAAAUUUGGACCAUGUAGAGUGUAGGAUUUCGAAUUGCUCACGCUUUUCGGCCCUAAAUACAAUGCAUUAAAGUUAAACUUAAUGGAACACAAAAAUAAUUUCCUACACACUUAUAACUUGCAAGUGCUUACCCGUAUCCCUGGUUAUAGUCUACUUUUUCUUCAAAACGGUUUAGUAAGUUUUAGUGUUACACCUAACAUGCGCAAAAGUGUAAUCCAUAUUUCACCACUAUAUAUAAAUAUAUUUUGUAUAAUAUAUAUAUAUUAUUGGCUGCUUUCACAUUUAUCAUAAGUUGAUAAAUCUUAGUUGGCCUCCUUUGUUCAUGGGGCUUGCUUCAACCUAGUAACGGAAGGUAGGGGAAGUUUGAUUUUACUUCCUUUUAGUUUUCUUGUAAAAUUGGUCCUCAGCUAAGCGGCUUUGAAAUUGUCUUCAAAGAGUUGACCUUCUUUAAUUCUAAAGUUUCUUUUACAGGAAUUAUUAUUUGAACUAACUGAUGAGAGGUGAAACUACUGUUUUUUUUGUUUUGUUUCGGUUUUUUUUUUUUUUUUUUUGUUCUUUUUUGGUAACAGUAUUGAUAGAGCAACCACUAGAAUGUUAAGUAGCCAACCCUAUCAGCUCCUCGUGUUCGGAUCGCUUAAUAACAAGACAAACCCGAGUGUCAUGCCUCACGAGCUGAAAGCAACAACAUUAAGUGAAAUGGAUUUAGAUUGGGAUAUAUAUAAAAAUAAAUUUAUUAAUAUUAACCUAUUAAACUUUGAUCUAAUGGUCGAAACUUUACAUAUAAAUGAGCUUGUUAUAAUUGAGCUCUACUUAUAUUAUAUAUAUAUUUUGCUAAAAUCAAAUAAUAAAAAAUAUAUAUAUAUAUAUAUAAUUAUUUAUUAUAUAUUAAUAUAAAUUAAAUAAAUUAUAUAAAUAUAAAAUAAUAUGUAUAUUUGAGCUGUUAUCGAGCGAAGCCGCCGAGCAAGCUGACUCCAGCUGUGUUCGGCUCGUUUACUAACGCGGCGAUUCGAUCCUCGAAUCAUUUCGAACAGAACACAAGCUGGCUGGAGCGACGGUGACUAGAUUGCAAACCUAAACCACCCUAACCCUACAUUCUCAUGAUUCCCAGAGCGUUGGAUUUUGCACUCAAACCCAAGGCGAUUAAAAUCUACCGGCCAUUGAAGCUAGUUGUGGUGUAGUCGAUCGUUGGUUGGUCGCCCCGCUACGUAAGUGGGUACUAGGUUUGCCACUGAUCCAAUCCGUUCUCUUCCAACACCCUAAACAAUUGUAGUAUGCGGGAAUCAAACACGAUGACAUGUCCUAAUGUCAUUUGAUAGGACGCCUAUUAUAAUUUCAACUCUCUAGUUAUCAUAAAAAAAAUUAAUUACACUAAAAUAUAUAGACACAAUAUCUACGGUAUUCGAUUGUGAUUUGACUUACUCUAGUCUCUGCCACUUGGCAUAGAUACUAGACUACGUGCCAACUAGUAAUCCUAGAAGAAAAUUUCUCAAAUUUUGUUGGCAUAUCCUGUCGUGACGCAAGCUUUUUAGAAACAGCAGUAUUAUGAUUCCUAUAUAUCUCGCCAAUUAUAGUAACUAUGAAUCUCGAUUGCGAUUAUACUCCUCCAACCUCCGCCACGCUAGAUAUAAUACCGCCUAUUGCCAACUGGUGAUCCAUAUCCUCUAAAUUUUGAUGGCAUAUCCUAGUCAUUUACGCCAGUUCUUUAGAAAUAGCGAGUUACUAUAAUUCUUCAAUAUAUCUCUCAAAAAGUUAUAUAUCUAUGAAUCUCAAUUGUGAUUUGAUCCAUUUCAGUCCUGUCGCAUUGGCAUAAUACUAGCCUACUUGUCACCGUGAUCCUCUAAAGAAAAAUUUCGACUUGGUAGAAAAAUUUAAACUUGAACCAAACUCAAAAUAAAAACUUUUGUACAUGAAACUUAAAAACCGAAUUCAGACUAUUAAUAGAACAACUAUUAAAAUGAAUCAUUAAUUAAAAUAAUUAAAAUUAUAUAUUUAAAAAUAUAUUUUUAUAUAGUAUGUUUUUAUAUGGCUUAGUUUGGAUUCAACUUUGAUCAAAUAAAGACACAAAAUCAAAACAGAACUGAGUCCAUCAGGUUCUCAUUUUUUUUUUUUUCACUCUAAUCAAAUCAUAUCCAUUAGCGUCGGUUAAACUAAUCCUUUCGAAUUCAUCUUCAGUAAAAUUUCGAACAUCGGUAUGCAUCGACUUUCUUAGUAAAGGACAAGUUGUCUGUUGAAUUUUACCCCACUUUAAAGGAUACUAGUGUAGAGACCGCGCGAUGAACGGGAAGUAAUAAUAGAAGCAAAUUUUUUAAAAUUUUAAUAAAAUUUAUAUUUACAGCUUAUAGAAAGUAUACAUGUUAAGCAAAUUCAAUUGUUAAAAAAUAAAUUAUAUAGCUAGAACAUAUGAAAUACAUAAUAAUAACUAAAGUAUCUAGUACUUAAGAAAAUUUUGGAUGGGUCUCAAGGCUCCAGUCUCCACAUCAUACUUUUUAAUCUAUGAAAGAAAUUUUGCCACAACGUGUCUACUCAAAAUAUGGUCAUAGAUGAAAAUAAACAAAAAAAUUAAUCUUAAAAAAACUAAUAGUUUUUGGGCACUUUUUUUACUCAUCCCAAACCUCAUAAAUCUUCUUAAUUUCAACUGUAGUUGCUCCCACGCCGAGUCCACUUCUGUGAUUUUUUUGUAACUUAUGAACAAACACCUCAUUGCAUCACAAACUACGAUAUCUAAACCCGACACAAGCUCUGCCUUACAUCAACCACUAAAAAGUCCUACUUCUAACAAUUUGAAUUUAUCAAGAAUUCCAGCGAUUCUUUGAGAGGAGCUCCCGCGCACGUCCCGCGUAAAGGAGGCUAGGAUCGAACGUCCAAGAGUCUCGCCGUCGGCCCAGAUUGUGGGCGCGUGCGACCGCCGAGAGUAGCCGAGGCGGGGUGUGUCGCACAGCGAGUGAGGCUCCGGCGCAGACUCGCCCAGCGAGUACUUUUAUGGCACGCAACUUGACUUUUACAGGACGCCCCCCCCGGAUACUUCUGAGGAAGACAACGUUUUCUCGCUCCUUCUUACUUCAUUAUUCUCUCAUAAUCUCUGUUAACAACAAUGAGAAUAGAGAAGGGGAUAAGUGUGAGCGUGAGAGAUUAGAUGAUUAAUGUUCUUUUUUGUAUGAGAAAAUAAAUGCCAUGCAAAAAAUGGGUAAGGGGGUUAUAUGGUGGAGGGGAGGGAUUGGAGUUACAAAGCUAUUAAUGUGGAAUAUAGGCAUUAAUUAAAUGUGGAGAGGUGAAGGGUGCAGCAUGUUAGAAUGAGAAAACGUAAAUUAAAAAAAAAUGAGACUUUGCCAUCGUCCAUCAUUUUACAUUUUGGGAUUCAUAUAUGGACUGCGACUCAACUUAUCAGACGACUACUCUGAGGAGCAACGUCUUCGCAUACUCUUCUUCUUCAAUCUCCUCAUAAUCUUGUAAACAAUGAGGAUAGAGAGAAGGAGAUGAGUGUGGGGUUGUGAGGGAUUAGUGAUUAUGUUCUUUUUGUAUGGAAAAUAAUCUGUCAUGCAAAAAAAAAAGGGUGGGGGGAUAAUGGUGGAUGGAGGAUUGAGUUACAAAGCCACUAAUGUGUGAUAUGAAUGCAUUUAAUUAUAUGGAGAGGUGAAAAGUUGAGCAUUUACGAAUGAUAGAAAAAACCGUAAAUGUUAAAAAAAAAAAACAUUUUGCCAUAUCAUCAUUCUAUAUUAGGAUUUCAACAUAAGAGUAUAGAAUGUCGCCAUUUCUAUUAGAUCAAGUAGGUCAGCACUCACAAUCCGAGUAGAAAAGGAAAAAAAAAAACAUAUAGAAUGUCAACAAGCAUUAAUUUCUUCUUCUAUGUCACCAGGGGGAAAAAAAACAACACAGUGUUUGAAAGCUUCAAACGAAGGCAGGACUAAGUUUGAAAAACUCAUAGUUAAAGAGCAUGGAUAAACAUUCUGAGUCGCACUGUCGAGAGAUCUUGUGUACGAACUGGCCAACUGUUUAUUAAGUGUCUGCUUUUCGGAAGCAUGUUUUUGGAUUUUGGUUUUUGAAUAGCUAGCAAAUGUCAAAGGGAGCUAUCCGAACAUUCUCAGCUUCUCCUUAAUCAAUCACUGUAGGCAGGCUCAGGAGUAGGACGAGGCUCAUUAUGUUUUAUUAAGCUCUUAAGAAGUCAAAUUCCUGCCGUCCAAACGGUCGAAUAUUGCAGAGACAUGCCGACAUCAAGUUGUUCUUUGUCAAAUAAAUUUGCGUUCUAAUCUUCUUACUUCUUGGGUUUUCUACGCGUCACCAAUCUACAGCGACGUGCAGAGGUCCUGUUUCUUUGCCCUCUUUUCAAAUUGAAUAGUGAUUUUUAAUUAGAGCCAUUGGUUGUUCAUAUAGUUUAUAAUUGUAAAUCCGUAAUUGUAAUUGCAUAUAAAUAUAAAUUCGUGUUUGAAAUACACUACUGCAAGUAUGACUUCGUAUCCUCCCGUCUACCGUGACCCCGAUGUUACGCCUACAGUUAGUCGUUUUCACACUAGUAUAACUGUUGAGAAAGAGGUUCAACUGCUGUAGUUGGAAAUAGCCCAAUAUUGGCCGCAGUUCCAGAUGCAGCAAUUAAAGAGAGUAAUUUUUAAAUAAAGACAUGUUUUAACUCCUUAAUUUUUUUAAUUAUAUAUAUAAUAUAUAGAGAGUAGACCGCCUUAUAACUAGCGGGUAGGCAGGCAGGCCUGCUGUGGUUUAUCAGUUGUUUUAAAUGAGUGCCGCUUCCAAAUCGACAAAUCGGUUCCAUUAGACUUCAUCUAGUACUAUAUGAAAGUAUUUGGAAACUAAAUUUAUAAUUUUUUGGUUACAUUUACCUAUCAAGAAGUAGUCUAAAAUGGAACGGCCUGAAAAAAAAAUCUCAUAAAAAAGAUUGAUAGAAGACCUUGAAUUUAAGAAUCAGGUACUAAUCGAUCUUUACUCUCAAUUAGUAAAAAGAAUUUCUAUAAAAUUUUAUUCUGCUUGGCAUUAUUUUACAACCGUUAAAUUACAAAUGCAUCACAUCUACCAUUCAAAAUUGUCAAUUUGAGACCUUUUAAUCACUAACCAAUAUGAUGUCGAAAAAUUCUAAAAUUUUUCGGUUUCUAAAUAUUUUAAUAGUGUAAAUCAAGUCUGAACUGAGCCGAUUGUGAAUUUGCGAAAGUGAUCAUUGAAAACAACUUGAUAGCACAGAAGCCUCGAGGCUACCGAUAGUAUACCCAGACUAACUCUAUAUAUAUUACAUUUACAGAUAAUUCACCAUCUAUAUAUAAAUGAUCAAAUUUAAAAUUAUUUCUCAAAUAUAUAAACAAACAAUUAUUUAUAGUUCAUGACGUUUCUACUACAUCCAACCAAAACAGAAUGCUGUGUUAAAUUGUUGCAUUUCCAAACCUAUAUGAACAUUCGUUAUCCUCCAACUACACUGCAUUUAUAAUUACAUCUAGUCAAAUUAGUCCCUUAGUGGGAAGUAGUUCACAUAAAAGAGUUUUUCACCAAUUAUUGUUUGAGAGAAAGUUAAAUAUUUGUAAUUAUAUAUUAUUUCUAUAUUUUAUUAAUCCUCAUUGAAAAUUUAUUGAUUAGAUGAAAGACUGAAAAAAAAUAUAGCAGUUAAUUUUUACCGUUCUUUCUAAUAUUUCUCUCUUUCUCUCUCUCACAUAUUGAUCUUGGAUGCUAUCAAGGGAGGCCAAUUACAACGUUUUUGAAAAUAUAGAGUACAAAAGAAUUAUAUUACGACAAGCCAAAUAACGAAAAGUGUCUAACGGUUUUAAGAACCUAGUUAUUAUAUUAAAUAAUGCAUGUAUUUUGUAGUAAUUGUUUUAGUUGAGUUUUGACUAAUAAGUUAUGAUCUUUGAAGAGCCUGAAUAGAGGUGAGCCAAUGGUGAAGAUGGAAAAAAUUCAAGACUAGCCACAUGUUGCAGAAAGCCUAUUCUGUUCAUUGGUUAAUAUUGACAAGUUAAUUCUUAUUUGGCAGCUAUUGUUGUGAAAAUUGUAUAUCUUAAAAUUGGACGUUGAGAUUGAAGGACUUAAAAGGCAACUAUCGUGUUCCGUCCAUAUGUCACACCAUGAAUCAAAGAGUUACAGUAUAAGUGAUGUGUUCUUAAAUCCCGUACAAAAACUUAUUUACGCACUAUCUAGAAACAAUUCAAAUAAAGUUGGAGCUGAUUGACAAAUAGAAUAUGCAUCAAAUUAAUGUGAAACAUUUCUAUUUGAUGUUUUUUUGUUGAGUUAGCUUCCACACCUUUAAAUCACGUGAAAUCUCUUAAAAAAUAAUGUCCUUUUCAAUUAUUAUACAUCGGUUCUAUACCUAUAAUAGAUAGAUAUAUAAAGUUGAUUUUAUGGGAGUUUAUUGGACUCGGCCUCGAUCUUUCCGUACUCUAAUUGGUCACCUUUGAAUUAGAGAGCUCCAUCUUAUAAAAUAGCAUGUGCGGGUUAAGUGAUAGUUGCGUGGGCGCGUCAGAGCCAAAUUACAUUCGACCCAAUAUACACACCGCGAGUCGUGUGUUCAGCAGAGCGACCAAGUGAGCUGACACUCGGCUCGUGAAUACACUGACUCGUUAUGGAUUGAAGUCGAAAAAUUUGAGUUAUCGUCCCGAUUUCAAUUUAUUAACGAAUCAAUACGAGCCGAAUAUGAAAUUAAAAGGAUUAAAAAAUAUAUAAAAAAAUAAAUAAAUUUUGUGAGAUUGUAUCUAUGCAAUUUGAUCUAAGAUUAGAAAUCUUAUAUAUACAUGAAUUUUUUUUAAUUGAGUUGGACUUUUAUAUUUAGACUGCACAUUAAAAAUAAAUUAAUAAAAAUUUAUAUUAUAUAUAUAAUAUUUUUUAUUUAUAUAGAAUUAUAAUUAUAUGAAUAAAAUAAUGAAUUCACACUGUUAUCGAACGUAAUACAAAACGAGUUGACCCAGCUCCGUGUUCGGCUCGUUUAUUAAACAACGUUGUUCAGCUUGUUUACUAACACGACGCGACUCGAUUUUCGAAGAUUUCGAGCGACAUGAGCGGCUCGUAAACAGCGAGCUGGAUUGCCAUCCUAAUCACACAGUACCGUAGCGACAAAAAAAGAGGCAGCAUGCAUGCGCAGAUCAAAGUCGACAGCAGAGCGGCCAGUUCUCAACUAAGGCUGUCUGUAGUGGUUUUGAAUUCUUCGAAACGAACUGUAUAAAAGGGUGGUCAGAGAUUUUAGAGUACUUUUUAAUUUAGUCAUUUCGAUUAACAACUUUACGAAAAGCUUUUAUUGAUUAUUUUUAGCUACACGUUUGUGUUCGGGGUUAAGGAAAAAUUUAGAUUUAUUCUAGGGAUAUGGUUUAAGUUCAGGUUAAGAUGGGGUUGGAAGGAUUUUUAUGUUUGGUUGGAGGUUGGAAUGUCCAGGAUAGUGAAAAAUAGCUGUUUUGGUUGAGUUAGGUGGGAUAAGAACGAUAUGAGUUAUUUGACUAGAAAUAGUGAUUUUGGUUGGCAGUGUGGUGGGGGUUAGUAAUGCGGAAUUGCCCAUUUGAGGUGGGGUUAGCCUAACCUGGUACCAUUUUUGGUGAGUGUUUGAGAAAUUAAUAUGGGAGUUAAGGGUUAAGGGGUGUUUAGAGUUUUAGUGGAAUAAGAAAAAGAUGGUAUUUACUAAACACUCUUAGUUUUUUUGAUCUGUAAGAAGACAUAAUGUAUAAGUUCUGAUCUUUAUUUCUUCAUAUAGGGAAUAACAUUAUAUUUUCACUCUCCCAAUGAAAUAGUAAUUGUCGAAUUACCGUAAAUUUUGGUUUUUUUUCUCUACUGUUUUUAUUUUUUAUACUGUUUUCGGUCUAUUAUUUUCAUGAUUUAUAUUGAUACACGCAUGACGGACGAUCCCAUUCCACGUUCCAACGAAUCAAAUAUUUAGAUGAUAAGAAUAUAUUACUUUUAUAAAAAAAAGGCUUAAUUAUACAGAUGCGCCUCAAACAUAUUUAAUAGCAGAUAUAUCCCUGCCCAAAGUUAACUCUCAUAAGUUCCCUACACGAAAGCUCUCUCCCUAAUGUUUUAUUAAGAUAUGUCCCCUACGCAGUUAAUACCUUGUUAAAACUCUUAAGUUACAACACAGUUAAGUUCUUAACGCAUGGAUUAGUUAAAAGGUAAAAUAGUAGUUUUCUACCCUUCUUCCUUGCCCUUCUCUUUUUUUCCCUCUGCUUCUUCCUCUCUUUCUCUCCUACUUUUUUCUUCUCUCCUUCUGUUCGUAUCCUCAUUUUCCUCCUUCUUCUUCUUCGUCGUCGUCAUUGAUGAUCCGAUUGUCGUCGCUGUCGUGGUGCCCCCGUGGGCCGUCAUCACGGGCGCCACCGACGGCAUCGACCACGCCUUCACCUUCCGCCUCUUCCUUGUCCUCGUUGGCCGCAACCCCGACAAGCUCCGCAAGGUCACCGUCGCCGCCGUCCGCUUCCACGGCAUGAAGAGGAAAAGGAAGAUGAAGAGGGUGAGGGCAAAAUAGUCAUUUCGCAACUUUAUUGUUAAAAAAUUAACAGUUUUUUAACAUAUUCAAAUCAGAGGAACAUAUUUAAAUACAUUAGGGUUUUUAUAAGGAUAACUUAUGAUAGUUAAAUUUUGCAGGAAUAUGUCUGCUAUUCAACAUGUUUGCAGGAAUCUGUAUGAAACUAACCCAAAAAAAAAAUGUCAAUGUAAACGUAAGCUGUUUCUUAGACUGAUAGAAAAAACCGGGAGCCCGAAAAGAUCGAAUCCAGGCGCCGGAAUUUUCGCACCCGAUUUUCAAUGAGUGUGCGCUCGAUUUCUGAGUGUGCUCCCGAUUCUGAGGAGCAAGUUUCUAUCAGAGAAGGUGCGGGUGCCUAAAUUUUGAAGCUUGGAAGUAGUCCUGUGGUAUAUUUUUAAUUUGAAGUUUCCUAUUCUCUCUCCAAACUUAAGUGAGUUAUUUUGAUAGCGAUUUUCUAUUCCCUUGCGUAGAAAUUAAGAGUUGGGUUUUUGUAGCGGAAAGAUUUAUCUUUUGAGAAGAAGAAGAAGAGAAGUGGUUGUAAAGACUCGGUAUUUGCACUAAAAAUAUCGGAAGUGUCGUUCCCACCACAUGCACAUGCAAGAAGAAGGCCUCUUAUAUAUGCACGUCAUUAGAUGCCGAGCAAAGCCCUGCAUGAUUUUAAAUCAGUUAUAACAUGUUGGUGGGCAAAGCUACCCUGUAAUAAUCAGAAUUAGCUACAACACCCAAAUAACUUCAUGAUAGUUUAUAGUUAGUCACACUUGUAAUUAAACAGUUGCAAACUUUUUCUAAGCACUAUCUAACUCGUUCGUACACCCGAACAAUGGUUCUGAAAAAUAGUGCAGCAACAGGUAUAAGUUAAUCACGUGGAUAAUCCAAUAGGUAUGUAUACUAGACUGAAAGUAAGUUAUAGAGAUCGAAUUAGACAAUUCGUAUAUCAAUUGCGGAAACAAAAUAAGGAUGCAUACAAUGAUGCAUGUAGUCAUAUAGAACAACAAGUGAACUUCAAACAGAGCAAGUAUAGAAAAAUACUGCAAGAAGUUGUAAACAAUAUUGGUGUUAUUAUAUGAGAAGGCAUAUGCUAUUUAUUAAUUUCAAAUUUGUUGUUAUUCUUUUAAUCUUAUUAGGCCCAACAAGCUGAUUUCCCGCUUUCAAUCCAAAUCUAACAAUAUUUGAAUUGUCCAAAUCGAAAUUGAAAUGAAAAAGUAUGCCCAAUUUACAAUUUAGUGCCUAUUAAUUCGUGCAAAUCAGUCGAAAUUUAGAAUUUAUGCAUAUCAAAUGAAUGCCAUGGUGGCAAAAAGAAUUUCAUAAUGAAUCCAAUGAUAAUAAAAUCAUGUAAAAUGGAGACUGUCAAAACGAAAACACUAAAAACUCACUGACCGAAACCGGACAAUGGGAAAAUUCGGGCCCAAACUAGAACCAGGCAUGGGCCAAAUGUGUCUCUCUCACGGAUUCAAAUCAUAUGCGAACUUGAUUCUAAACUUAAACUUUUAUCAAAUAUAGGCUAAGCCAAUUUAAUAUAGUCCAUUUCCUUAAGGUGAAAUAAAUAUGCUCUAAAAGCCUAAGUUUUUACUGUGGCACCGUUCGACGACCGACCGUGGGAAUUAGAGUUGCUACUCGGACUAGAUCAUCCAAUUCAACCCGAAUCUGACCCCCAGACUCGAAGUAUUUUUGUGAGGUGUAUAGGUUAAAAUUAGGGGAAAAUCCUAAUUAAUAUUCAGUUCCGAGUAUAAACACGUUGAUCCAGUCCUUAUUUUUUGUGUACUAUAUUACAUGCUUUUGUGUACUUUUACCGUGGGUGAUAAUAUUGUUAACAGAGCUAUAUUUUAUACGCAUAGACAAUAGUAAUAUAAACUUAAUAUAGUGUUAUCACACCCCUUUUGAAAACAGCAAUCAUUUGUAUAUUGUUUUUAAUUUGAAUUUUUUUUCAGUUAACAUGAACAAUGAGUAAGAUUACCGUUACGUUCAGAAUUUGCUGUAUUUUCAAAGCACAUAGAUUACUUAAUAAAUUUACUCUUAUAGAGUGGACAUGGGACCCCUUUGGAUUGAUCUUAUGCUAAGGAAUGAAUGAUGGUCCAAAACCAUAAAAUAAGCAAAGGCCUGAUUCAAUUUUCAGGAUUAGUGAAUUACGGAUCAAUUUUCAGUUUCGAGCCAUUAAUCGGAUACAUGACAUUAUCUACAGCCAUAUUUGGAUUAAUAACAUUAUCUACAAUCAAAGAAACUAAGGAUAAUCGAUCGAAUAACUGCGUUACGUCGCGGCCCAAAUGUUUAAUACCACACAAAGAAGGUCCCUAAAAAGGCCCAUUAGAUAUCAACCACCACGCAGUUAGUAAUAAGAUGUUAAAGAACAUCUUCUGCAAUCAAAACUGCAUCCAGGAUUACUGUUGUUCAUCUGCCACUUUGUAAAAUUGCUCGCUUCGACUUUCCUCGACGGUACUCCAAUAACGCCGACCAACAUCCCGGUGUCGCAGCUGGUUCCCUGUCCCUGUAAAUUAAACAAACUUGACUUAAAGCCAUUUGCAUAUCAGGAGCUCGAGCGCGAAACGAUUAAUUGAUGUAUGUAACAAUCAGUCGAAUGAAAAGAUUAUCCUUGGUUUGAAUUUCCUGUAAAAUCGGUGUUCGACUUAAUGACAAAAUUGAUUGGAAAGGAUGAAUUUCAUAGAAUUUCUUCUUUUUUUUUUUUUAAAAAAAAAAGAGAAUUAUGUAGGAUCAGGAUUGGUGAUUUGCUCAUCUAGCACAUUCACAACGUCAAAUCGGAGAAUAGGCUGAUUAGCUUAAAUUUGUGUUGAAAUACGUAUCCCUACGUAGUACUUUUAAAAUCACCAAACAAAUAUUAAGGUCACAUCAUAACCGAUCAACAAAUAAUGAUCGUCAACACCUAAUUGUCAGUGUCCAAAAAAACCGAUUGAUAGAAAUAAUUUAAAAAUAGCCUUAAACAAUAAACUGAAGAGAUAUAUAAUCAUCUUUGCUAGUACGUGACUUAAAAAAAUCAAUCUGAUAGAAAAUAACACAGUAUAAUCUUAACACUAGUUAUAUACCUUUUGUUAUACUCGGUGUUAGCUCGCUGAUCCACCCCCCCACGGCUCGUCCGUGCGGCAGUGAGGCUCCGUGUCAACGACGUUGGCACGUAGAAAUUUAGGAGCACUCCUUCGCUACUACCACCGCAACUACUCCUGCGAUCUCUCCUCUUCCUCUCAUUCAUUUUAGGCCUCUUCUCCUUCGUUUCGUCGUCAUGUAUUAUUUUUUUUUUCGUUACCGCUCCCGUCUCCGACGUUAAUCCUUCUUUCUCGACUAAGUCGGUGAGGGAGAGCUCGUAAUCGGACUCCGGAACGUCGUUUAGUAGCCUCAGAAGCUCUUCGCGGCUUUUGGCGAUCUCCGAAGCCCUCACUGAUAGAGAAGCCGAGGAAAUGCCUUCCAUUUUGCUCUCAAGAAGCCAAAGACUCCUCCCAGAGAGUGCAAUUGUGAUGAUUUCGAGGGAAAAUAAAAAAAAAAAACAAACAAGAUAGGAAAAUAUAAUAGUGAGAGAUUGCUAUAUGUAGCGAAGAGGCCUUUGUUGUGAAUGGUCCAUUUGGUGGAAACAAAUUGAUGGCGUACGCACAAAACGGGCUUAAGAAAUUGACUAAGUUGUGAAUGGGACCUGAUCUAGAAUAACUCUUUUGAAAGUUUCAAUAUUUAUGUAUAUUGGUGGGGCCUCGAUGGUUCGCUAAGGCUAUUACACUAUCAUCAUCACUGUGAUGAACUAAUAAUAUACUAUUAGGAAUAUGAUUAACUAUUAUAAAAGCAUGUGUUUAUAGAAAGAACACAUUCAUUGCAUUUAAAAGCUCAACCACAUUAUUCAUGGAUUUCGAUCUGACUCAAUUCACAUGGAUAUUAAAUUUUUAUUGUUAACCUCUUUUCGUUGGGUAUACUAUGGAUCACAGCUCUACGCAAUUUAUUAGGAUAAUUUAUUUCAAAUUAUUAGUUUUCUAAAUUUAUUACCACAGAAUAGAAAGUUGAAUCUAUUUUAGCUAAUAAUAAAUAACUAACAUUAUAUAUGGAUUAUGGAUUGCGUCUCUGAAUAACAAAUUUUUGUAACGUUUGGAACUACAUAGGAAUCUAUUAAUAAUUUUCAUGUUAUGCGUAUUAGUAUAACAAAAAAUUAUAAAAAACGCGCUCUAAAUCAUUCACAACGUGUGCGUGAUAUCAUGUAUCUAAAAAUAAAAAUAUUGAACAGUUUGGGUUGUUGAUGCGAUCAGUACGUUGAUGUUGACUCGAUCGUUCGUCUGGUUGCUUUUGUAACUUGUGUUCAACUCAAUUUAGUGUAGGUUGUUUACCAAUUAUUUUUGUUCGAAGAAGCCUAGAACUUCACGAAGAUUAAUUGCUUUAGUGAGUUGGAUUUGAUUGAACACUUAUUUGUAAUCUUGUGUUAAAAAACCAUUGGUCUCCAAUGAUUCACUACUUUUUUACACUAUGAUUGUAGUUUUAAUUGUGCUGUUACGCACCAUCCCUCAAAAUAUGCAAACAAGAAAGGAAAAACCCACCGACCGUUCCUAGAGCAAGCGACAAAAGGCUUGGUGGUUGGUAUCCGAGACCCAAAUUCAAAUUUUAGUUAAUUCAUAUUUCUAGCUAAGUUUAUUUCUAAAUGAAAUAAACGAAGCGAAUAGUGAAAAAAAAAAAAAAGAAAAACCCUAAACAAAACUGAAUACUAUUUCAUUGCACAUUACUUUUUCUUUGUUCUUGUGGGAUGAACUACGUUAGUGCUUUUCCUCCAAUAAAGUUACGGAUCUAACUCUAUUAAGGUUCUAACACCUAUAUCACCAGCAAAAAUAAGAUAUAAAAUAUCCUUGCAUACUUUAAUUCAAACUCCUUUUGAUCCAGUAAUGUCAAAUAGCUUUUAAUAACAAACGAAUCCUUAAAUCUGUUUUUAAAAAAAUGGCAUGAGCAUCAAUUUGGAACCAAAACUCACUAUUUUAUUCUUAAAAUUCUCACGAGUAACACAAAAAAAAAAAAAGUAAAAAAGGAGAAUUUUGUAGAGCCCACUCAAGCCUAAUUUCCGGGAUUACGUUGUUUCCCAACUUACCCACCCAUAGAUUAAAGUUUUGUCCUCUGCAUCUAAGGACAGUUUGUUUUGAUUAGGUGUAAUUAUAAAUAUAGUGUAGUUGAAAAUAUAUAUAGUUAAAAAUAUAGUAAUUGUAACUAUAUGCAUCCCAUUUGAUUGGAUGCAGUGAAAAGCGCUGUGACUAUUAAUAGUUUGUUUGAUUGCAUAUAGUUGAGAAAUAAUUUUUAAAAGUUUAUUAUUUUAUAUAUAUUAUGGUGAGAUUAUCUCAAAUAUAAAUAUAUAUAUGUUUUAUUUAAAAAAUAAUUAAAGAGGUAAAUAUACUUUUUGUUUAAAAUUACUCUCUCUAACUGCUGCAGUUCGAACUGCGAUCAAUUUAGGCGUAGUUUUCACUACUACAGUUGAGCUUCCUCUUAUAUAAUUCCUACUGCAACAGAUGGAGCUAAAUGCAACAAACCAAAUGCAAGCAUUUGUAUUUACAUACAGUUAUAAUUAUAGUACAGUUAUAACUACGUACAACCAAACAGCCGCUGAUAUGCCGAAAUUUGUUUUUUGGUGACAGGGCUACGACGGCAUCUUUAUUAAGUUUGCUAAUAAAAAUUUAAAAUAAAUCAAUAAAAAGAAAAAUUAUCAAAAGUAUUUUUUAAAAAUAAAAUUUCUCACUUUUGUCGUUUAGUCUUUUGACUGGAGAAAGAAACGGAAGUUGCCGGCGGGCUCCACGCCGGCGAGCGAAGCGCAUGAUCAAACCGUACAUCUAGUGGGGCCCUCAUAGGUUGGGAGUGCUUCUACGGCCUAGAUGCGUAGUAGUAUGUAGGGGUGGUGGUCAAGCGACGCACCCGAUGAACACUUUGCAAGACAAGUAAUCGGAACUCAAGUACGAGCCUCCAAAACUUUGAGAUUAGCACAAACUAAAUAGAGGUUAAGAAAGUACGAAAUUUACUUAACUAUAAAUUAUUUACAUUUGACUAUCAACUUUUUUAAUUUUAAUUUAACUAUCUAAUAUUUCCUAAUUUGUUUGAUUUAAAUUAGUUGACAAUACUUUGACUUCAAAAUUCGAAUACGAUUUUAUUAUGUUUUAUAGGUUUAGUUAGUAUACUUAAUGUUAUUAUCACAACUAUAAAUUUAUUAAAGUAAUCAAUCUAAUUUUUGAAGUCAAAAUAUUGUUGACUGAUUCAAAUCGGAUGAAUUACAGGUUGGAUAAUAAAAUUAAAAUUUUGAAAAGUUGGACAAUCAAAUCCAAAUAAUUCCUAGUUCGGAUAAGUUUCAUACAUUUUCACAUAAAUAAAAGAGUUUUCAUUUUCAACAGCAAUAAUUUAUUAGUAGAUACUUAUGCCUCAUUGGGCAUUAUUAUUUUUUUUUACACUAAUUAUAUACAAUUUGAAAUAUUGUCUAAAAAUUUAACUUCUUGUUGCCGCCGUGAUUGGUUAGCAUGUAAUACACUUGGCCAAGUAAUACUGACAACUUUAAAUAAAUUUCAAAAGAAAAAAAGCUUUAUUUUAAAAAUUUUAUGUUUUGUUACCAAAUAAACAGCACGAAAGAAAAAGUUGUUAGUAAUGUACUACUACUACCCACUACUAUACCGUUUUUAUGUUAAAAAAUCUAUUUAAAUAGAUAAAACACGAUGCCAAAUGAAGCCUUAAUUGCUUUGGUUUUGCUCUCUUUUUAUUUCUAUUCGUACCUGCAAUUAACUACCCCAGAGCAUUUGGCAAAUACCAAGAAAUAGAGUCUUUGCUGCAGCGCAAAAUUUAAGUCCCAAAAGAAGUGGCCUGGUUUUAGAAUUUAUGAUUUUGCAGAGAAGUUUGAGAAAUUUCAAUAUGGAACCUCUCCGUACAAUACCACUGGAAUAUAAACUACAACCUACAAAAUCGCAUCUGAUCGGUAUUCUAAAAAAUAACGAUCAAGAGCAGGUAAAAUAUUCUGAUGUGACCCAAUUUUUUAGUUCUCAAAUGCAGCUAGAGAUUCUUUUUUGUCUUUGUUGAAGUUGGAUUUCACUUUGGAUUUGCUCUAAUAGAGACUAAAAAUAAUUUUUUAUAGGGGCGUUUUCUCACCAUUUCUGCUGAAACGGGCAAAAAAAAGGAAGAAAAAAACAAUUCUCUCAUGAAGACGAUGGAUCAUAUUUUUAUUACACCUAUACAUGGGAUGUAUAAAUCGCGUUGCUCUUUUACAAAGAAAAAUACUACGGGUACACCCUUCCGGGAGGUGUACAUUUUCCAUCUUUAAUCCAUAAAUUCAAACCACCCCUUUGGAGUUUAAAGAAAAAUUUUUUUAAAAAAAAAACAUGAUAAGAUAAGUGAUUUAUUCUGAUCUACAAAAAAUUUAUGAGUAUUAAGUUUUACGAUGUAUGCGUCGCAUUACUCUUCUACAAAACAACAAUACAUUUUUGACAAAAGCAGAUGCUUUCAUUCAUGCAUUAUGUUAGGAAAACAUAUAAUCUAUCCUCAAUGUUUCCACAUAAUACCAAAAAUUUGUCAUGAAUAAAGGCGAAUCAAAAAUAUCUGCUUGUUAAAAACCAUAAGAAAGCAUAUUGGUGUUUGAGCUUAUAUGUCUAUAUACAAAAGCAAUCAAUGGAUAGAUGACAUUAUAAAUAUGGAUCAAACUCUUAAAGAGUCAGAUUAAAAGACCUGUUGAUCCAAGAAACACAAUCGUGGGAUGCUCCAAGUAUGUCUUAUAAUUUAUGUCUUAUAAUUUACUGUCCUAUUAACUUAAUUAACAAAACAGUGAGAAGUAACACAUAAUUAAACUUUGAUGAGGUUAGGUAGAAGAGUAACCUUAUCAGCCGCGAUAAGCGAUCAAACAUUGCUCUCACCAUUCUUCUGAAGUUUCUCAUAUAGUUUUCUCGAAACCUGCAAAGUCGAAGUAAGAUAGGACACACAAAAACCGAGCUUGCGUAUAUAGGAAACAAAAGCUAACUGUCAGGAGAGGAUAGUAGUGAUUUGAAGGUUCUCCAUCCUAAUUUUGCUAAUCAAGUCUGAUAAAAUAGUCUGUCGGAAUAGGACAGGUAGUUUCUCUUGAUAAACCUGUUAAAGAGUCAAAAUUUUCUAUCGGCAUCCCAACAAAACAAAUGGGUGACUAUUUUUUUACCACCGUUUCUCGUAAACCUGUUAAAGAAUCAAAAUUUUCUAUUGGCUUCCCAACAAAACAUAUGGAUGACUGUUUUUUUACCACUGUUGCAGACUCUGUCAUUUUAGGGGUCAGAAGGUGAUAAAAAUCUCUCGCUUUAGUUUACUAACGAACUACAACAAUUCCAAGGGUUUUAUAUAGUAGAAAUGGUAAAAGCUUUCUCCACCCAAUAGCAUAUACUAUGAUAUUCUAUUAAGUUGUAUGGCCUACAAUGAACAGGUCGUUAUACUAUUGGCAUUACCUUUAUUCAAUUAAUAGAUUCCUUAAAUUAUACCAGAUUUAUCAUAUAACAAUUUUUACCUUAAUUUUAGAAUCAGAAUUGUCUAAGAAUAAUACAGUAUUUAACUCACUCGAUGUGAAGUUGGAGAACUAGAGCCAAUAACAAUAUGAUUAGUUGGUGAACUCGGAAAUGACUUUCCAGGAGAGCUUAAUAUGGUUGGUGUUGGGACAGGAGCUUGAGCAUAAGGCGAAACAGGAGAGCGUAAUAUAGAACUUUGAUGAUAAGGUGAAAGCGGAGAUUCCGUUGGAUUUCUUCGUGGGAACUGAGAAACAGAUGUGGGCUCUGGAGAUCUCGAUGAUGAUCUUUUCCUUGGAGGCUGCAUAUUUAUCUUAAUCCUGCAAAAGGAAUAUGCUAGUAAUCAUAACACACCAAUAAGAAAGCAGCAGAAUAAGGAAUUGGGCAAAAUGUAUGGAUUGUGCCUGCAACUUCUUCGCAACAUAUUUUUGCUCGAAUUCUUUAGUUCCCGAACUUUUUCAUACAUCCAAUAUCAUCCCUAUAAAGUGACCAUUACACUUCUAACCUUUCUGUUUCAGUAUAGUUAAAUCAGUUGAAAAGGCCAUUUUACAGGACAAGGUCGCACAUUGUCAGACGUUGUUGGCGACUACGGAUAGGAUUGCAAUAAAUGAGAAAAUUCAGGGGCUAAAGUGUUUGAAUGAUAUGUCAGAGAAACAAAUUGGGAUAGAACAGAGACAAAUCCAUAUAUUUUAGUGUAAGUAAUUUAGAUGGUAGCUACUUACUUGUUGUGUACAUCUACAUACUCAUCAGUCUCAUCCAAUAUGUCUUCCUUCAUAAAGCAAUCAAGCAGAGUUGUUAGUUACUUAGCUUCUUGCAUGAACGAAUGUAAGAUAGCAAGGACUACUUAACAAUAAUCAUGAAAAAAAAAAAUUUAAUAAUUAAAAGUGCAGAAUCAGAUAAGCAGUGGGAAUGCAAUUAUGAGGAAAAUAUUAACAGACUAGGUGUCAUCAAUUGCAUGAGCAGACUAAUGGGCACAAAGAAUGAUCCAGAACUUUAUGAUCCUUGUGUGAGAAUAUUUUCUCUCACUGGACAUUGAAUGAACCGAACUUCAUACGUUACCAAAUGCCAAAAUAUUGUAUAAUUCCAGGAAAAUCCCUAACAACUCUAAGCUGCAUAGAUAAAACAUAUUGCAACAGACCUUUCUAGAUGUAAAUAUGACAUAUAUAAUAACAAUAUAAUAAAAAGUAUGGGGAACCAAAUUAUACUAUAUUUCUAUAGCUUCAUGUAAAUCACAGUAGAAAAGAUAUUAUAAAUUCUGACCUGUAGCAAUUCCUCUAUAACAUUCUCCAUUGUAAUAAUCCCAAUCACUUCCUCAUCUAAUGAGUAGCUAGGAAAGGAAUCUGAAUUAACAUCAAGUAUAUUGUCAUGUCGUCCUCGCUCUGACUUCUUUGGCUGUGUUCUUACAUAUUGCUUCUCCAUGUUGCUUCUUUUUAGAGGACUGUGAAUUCCAGAAACACUAGAAUACAAAGGUGAUGCAUUUAAAGUGACACCCAAAUGAUCAGCCAAUGCUACAUGAGAUCCAUCUCCUGCACAAGCAGGAAUUGCUACAUGAAAAAUAUACAUAAUUGUAUGUAGUUCUUUGCAUAAAGGAAUCAAACAUGCAAUUGGUACUUCUAAAAUCAUAAUCGACAUAAACUAUCUUUUGAGAGGAUAAUAUACUUAAACUAUGAAGUAAAGCAUUCUCACAAUUCUUACCAGGAGUACCAUCAGCAGGAACAUUUUUCUUAUACUGGUUCAUUCUGUUCUCUAUUAUAUUGCUUUUGCUUUUAUCACUGGAUGCACCAAUAUCCUUGGUGCGUUUAAUGACCACGGCCAUAUGACUGUGACCUUUCUGAAACUCAUUCAGAAUGUCAUAAAGAGGAAGAUCCUCAUACACCCUGAUACAGAGAUGAUAUAAUGCACAACUUGGUUAGCUAAAAAAUUUCCUAUUAAAACAAUAUAUGAUUCUCAAUUCAAUAUUGCAUGGGGUUAAUUGAGAAAUACUGCUGAUUCUUAGUUACAAUAAAGACAGUUCGAUCCAAUUAGUGUAAUUGAGAAACAGGACCUUAAAUAUUUUUACUUAUCUAAUAUGUCAGAAAAUCAAAGAAAUAUCUUAAUGUACAAAACAUAAAGAAUAUACCUAGGAAUUUUUCUGAUGGUGACAUUUCUAAUGGGAACUUCAUCUUCAGGUCGACAAGUAAUCAAAUUCUUGACCUGAAAGAAAGGCAAAUCAUUAAAUUGGCAAAGUUUCAAGCAUACAAAGAGAGAAUAAGGAGUUACUACUCUCUUAACCUGAAGAAAGACAACUCAUUAAAUUGACAAAGUUUCGAGCAUAUAAGUAGAAAAAUAAGGAGUUAAUACUCCACAAGCGAAUCAUGAGAGAAUUUACAUACAGCAAAGAAAUUAACUACUGAAUUUUUGCUUUGUAUGCAUGGAUAAAUUCACUUAUGAUAUGUUAAUUGAGAGUAAUGCUACACUCAGAACUGUUUUACAUGCAUGCCGGACAAGGGACCAAUAAAUUCCAUAGGUAAGAGAUUAAUAGGUCACUGUGGAGUCCACAUCACAAUUUCAACCAAAUCACAGCCCAGCAGGUUUGACAUUCAUGUCAAAUGUUGGUACAUCAUUCCUCUUUGGUUAAUUUAGACCGUCAAUCAAUCUGUUGUAAAUGGAAACCUCGUGAUCUUGAUAGAAGGAAGUACCAAUAGGAUAUAAAAGAGUAAAUUACGUAUAAAAAAAAAUCAUAAAAAGAACUGCAAGUAGAUAAACAAAAAGUUCAUAAAAUCUUGGUGGGCAAACUUCAAAUGACCAGUCCUACAAAGACUGUCAUUUACAGUUAUUUGUAAAAGAUGCAUCAUAUAAAUUUCACAAAAAAAUAGCAAGGUGCUCACCAAAAUAAGGCCAAUAAUAUUUCUUGGGCUACCCGAAUAAAUUGGCACACGACUGUGCCCUUUUGUCAUUAUCAAACCCAUAGUGUGCCUAGCAAGAUAUAAAUGUCAGCAGCAUAUAGAGAAAAAUCCCAUAGUAUGGAAGCUACUAGAAAUCAGUGAAAGGCAUGUACAUGUCUAGCUUGGAGUUUAUAUCAAGUGCAAAGGUAUCGGCAAUUUCCGUCAUAGAAUCUUUAGCGGUCUUUUGGGUCAAAUCCAAAGCUCCUGUAAUGAUAGUAGUUUCAUCAUGAGUCAACUCUCCACCCUUCCCUGCCUAGCAAGCAAUUUAAAGAAGGUUUACUGUUUGCCCUGCUUCAAAACUACCAGCAUAAAUUUCUAUAUUUCUUUCUCAUAAGUACUGCAAAUAUGAAAAACCUCUCUUUGCUUCUUUCCUGAUUUAACGUUCAUGCAUACAUGUAAGUCGUCCAGGCAUGCAAAUCAGAAAAUUGACAAUACAAAUAGAGUCACCAAAAGAUGAACUUCUACUAAUGUUAAACCUUAACACAAACAACAACGCUUCUCUCAAACAGCACAUUGGCCAGUAGUUCAACCCAUGAGAUCAUUAUAAGAUUAGGCACUGUAGAAAGAAACCAAUUAGAAUAUUUAGCACCAUUUUUUUUUCCCCUCAACAUUCUGUUAAUAUGAAACUAAUGCAAAUGACCUUCUUUCUAAAUAUUCUGUUGCAUUCAUGAAUCAUGAUAUUUUAUUUUCAAACAUGCAAAGUGAGAUUUUGUGUUGUUGUUAAGAGCUAACAUCAGCAUAACAGGAAUGCACAGAGUAGCGAACUUCUUUUUUUACCAACAAAAUGCUUAGCAGAAAUAGUGAAUGCAUAGACGAGAUAUAUAUGAUACCCCCAGAUAUCGUAAAAUGUAGUGUAAAACACUUAUCAUAUUAUCAUAAAUAAUCAAAUAAAUGUACAAUGUAAACCCAACCUCAUUUCCAUGCAUAUCAACCAAUGUCUUCAACUCGGCCCUUCUCAUAAGUGCAAAAUGCCCCUUUCCUAAAAGCCAGUCCAGCAGCUGUCCACAGUAUGAACAUCAAACGAUUGAGAUGUUGAGUCUAUGUCAAUAUAAAGAAAAGGAAGAGAACUUGAAUAAAUUGUCUAAUAAACUAACUAGAUAUUGAGAUAUAGAUUUGCCAAUUCUGGUGCAUCUAAUAAAGAAAGAGAUUUUUUUUUAUUUACUUUUAGAUCUAUUAAUCAAGUUUUAACUGAAUAAAUCUUUAGAUAUAUAACUGUGGCAGCAUGCAAGCUCAUUCUAAUUAAGUCCUGCAUCCAAAUUUUUUUUAGGCUAUUUGAAAAGGUGGUAAAAUGCAGGGUUGAAAUUGAUGCAAUCUACAAUUCAGGAGAUAAUUGAGAUAACAGUAAAAGCCCAAGGUGCUAUGUUGUUAUUUAGCCCCAAAAAACAUUAACCCCCAAAUUGAGAAGGGUGAAAUCUAGUGAAAACCCACUAGACAAGGAACCGGUCUCACGAGUAGUAAAGUAAUAUGCAUCACCUACUUCCACUUCGGGAGCACAUUGCUGUGAAGAAACACGGCUAUAUGAAAUGUGCAGUUCACAAAAAGACUUGUGGUCCGCACAUGCAAAACAACAGGUCAUGUCCAGCUAACAUUAAAAUUUUUCUUUCAGAGCAAGUAUUUCCAGGAUUUGAGCUCUCAUCACUUAAUUUUCUAAGGUACAAAAUGUAACUUUUGCGUAAGGUCAAUAUACAAGGAGCAUGUUACAUGUGCUUAAGAUUUUUCAGCAGUACUUGUAAGGCUGACUUCAUGUUCUUUUGUCAAUGAGUCAGAAUUAGCCCAUGUGAUGGCCCGAUUAGCUCAUUUCACAAUUUUCUUUUCUCUUAUUUUUCCUUUCAAGAAUUCUCUCUAUAAACUAAUCUGUGAACAUCGCGACCCCUGCACGAAAACACACCUCAACGGCAUGAUCGGCCAGCAGAAUAGGCUGCUGGCAAAAUUGUUAUCGGCAUAUAUAUAUAUUAACUCGUAAACCUUAUAUUCGAGCUAAUGAAAGCCUUUUUAUUUAUCACGGAGGCGCCAUAUAUCGCACAGCAAAUUAGCUACACAGUGCAAUUCAAUUUUUAAAAUUAUUCACCAAAUAGAUCAUUACUAGGUUCUCUAACGUCUCGAAAUUAGUUAUUUAUCUUGCCGAUAUUCGCGAAUUCAAAGGGAAGGCACAUAAAGAAACCAUGGGGCAUCCAUUAAACAUAUCCGAUUAAGUCUCUUUUGCCGGUUCGAAAGAAAAUCACAAUACCUACGUUAACAGCAGACAAGAAAUCACCUUACUAAUGGGAUAGGCGACAGGAAAGAAGACGAGAAGAAGAAUCCGGACAACCCCAGCCAGCCGGGCUCCGACGCUCAGCCCGUACCGCGAGCAUACAGCUUGAGGAAUUAUCUACAACAACACAAUCAAACAAGAAAAGAGAUUCAUAUCGCCCUUCCGGCACCAUCUCAUCUCAAAAGGCGACGGAACGCGAUGUUCAAGCGGAAUCACCUCACCGAACGCAAGGAUAAGCGUCACGGAGAUCAGGAUCGCCCCCCACGCCGGCAGCAGAGCGUCGAGGAAUAUCGGCAGCGCCUGCGCAGCAAGAAGAAAGGAAAAAUCAAUCCACGACAGGAUCGAUCGUUAAUUAAAUCGUCACGAUCAGGAAGCUAGAGACCUCACCUCCAUGGCGAGGGAGUUGCCGAUGAGGAGGGUGCAGAGGAGCAGGUGCUGGUUCUUGACCACGGGGAGAAUCUUGGCUAGUAUUAAGCAGCAGAGAGAGAGAGAGAGAGAGAGAGAGGGGGUAAGAGAAAGAGAAAGAGAAAGAGAAAAAGAAAGAAAGGUGGAAGGUAGGAGGAGGAGGGGAGGAGAGGAGAGGAGAGGGGGUGGAGGAGGGAACCGGCAUUGAUUUGGUCGGUAGGGGUUCCGGCCUUGCGGAGGACCUCGAGGUCGACGAGGCUGAGGGACAUGAGGCCGAGGGUGAGGCCCGACAUGAGCCCCGCGAACAUCACCAGCCCCAGGCACACCAUCAGGUACACCCAGAACAUGCCCCCGCAGCAUGACUCCUGCGCCGACAUCAAAACUUCUCCCACACACCAAAAGAGAAACAGAGAGCAGAAGAGGAGAAGGGGGAGGAGGAGUAUGGCGGACUGCUCUUGGAGGAGGUGCUUUGAGGCCGUGGCAAUAAAGUGGGGUGCCGACUGCCGAAUGCCCCUUUUUUAGUUUUCCUUUCCCCUUUUUUCCCCCACUUUUUAACGGUUGGGUGCGUUGAUUGUGUCCGUCCUUGUUUGCGCUGUGAAUGCUUCGACUCUCGGAGAACGCAGCACAGCAGCAGGUAUAGGUAUGAAACGCGCCGCCGUGGCGAUUUUUCCUCGUGCUUCUGACUGCAUGCUCUCUGUUUUCUGGAUCAGUCUUUCGGAUUUUUACGCAAACCUUUAACGUAUGGACCUGUUUCAGUCAAAAGAAAUGUCAAAUCUACAGUAAAAAUAUAUAUAUAUAUUAUAUAAUUUUUAUAAUUUUUAACUUGAUGAUUUUAGAAGUUUAAUAAAUCUAUUUAGUUUUUAAUUUAAAAAAAGAGUGAUAAAACAAGUGUAAUAAAUAUAGUCUUUAGAUAGGUAAAUUAUAGAUUACAACUCAAGUGAAAGCAGAUCGAGCAUUGCUGAAUUAUACUCAUUGCAGAUUUGCAGCGGAGUAAAUUCUGAGUCUGAGGCUCCACUUGUUAUUAUAUUUAUUUGUUCAUAAUAUUUAUAAUUCUUCUAUAAAGUGCUGGAUUGAUUUAGGGCUAAUCCAAAAUAGAAAAAGCUUUGAAAACCUACUUAUUAAAGCUAAUCCGAAAUAGAAAAAGCUUCGAAAACCUACUUAUAUUAACACUUCGAUCUCCAUCCUAUACAAACCACAUUUGGGCUGGUCGCGUUGGUCAUCCUCUAAUCCGUGGCAGUUGUCAUCCCCAGUGAGAAAUAAUUAUAUAUUAAUCACAGAUGAUAAAAUCAACUUAGGUAAAGGUGGUCGUAAUUAAUAAUUGCUUGAUUGCAAAGCAAAGUAGGUUUAUAGUCACAUCUUUUAUGACCUGGACUUUGCAGUCACAUUUACCUUACAUGUAAUAGGUGAUGAAUUUUUUAAGCAGGUCAAAUCCAAUUUACCGAACAAGAAACUUUAGAAACGUGUAGGUAAAGUGUGGAAAACAUUCCAUAUAUACUACUGUUGUUGUUAAGAUUUAACAGGCGAGGAAGAUUAUUAUCAUACUUAGUUGAUAAAUAUAAGCGUUUGCUGAUACAUAUUUCUUUUAUGUGGGACGUCGCACAUUCUAAGUUCUCAACCUUUAACACUACUGCCGAUCAAUCAAACACUAAAUGUGCCCAAAAAAUUACGCGAUUUAGCGGUGUUUUGGAUUUACUAUGACCUACUAGAUCAGCUAGUUGGUAUCUUACAUAUGGAACAAUUGGCUUUUGGUUCAAAUCACAAUUUAAGCAUGAUUUAGAAUGUGUGUGUGAAUACCUGUGAAUUUAAUUACUGAUAAAACAACAAGGUAGAGGAAAAAGAAAUAAACACCUUUGUUUGUGUUUUCCUUGUUAUAUUAACUUGUUGAAAACCUAAUUUUGAGUGUUGCCUUCGCCUCAUAUGUAUCAUUGCCAUGAGAUUAGAUUAAUAAUAAAAUACUUCAAAUUAGCUCACUUGUGAACUGGAUACAAGUCAAGCAGUAUAUUAAUCAACCAGAUUCCGACCCAACACGACAACACCAAUCGUCUCAAGGGCUACAAAGUUUAACUAAUCAGCAAAAUUAAUUAAAUCUAACACUCUAAUUAAGUCAACUAGUUAGGUACCAAACUCCUAGAACCUUCGAUAUGCAAACCGUAGGGAAAACCAAUCCUGAUUAUAUUCAUUAAUCACUCCACAAUUCAUGGCUUAGAAACUAUAUAACACAUACACAACCACCCCGGGCAUGCAAUGCUCUCUCCUCUCAAAUUAUUAAUUUCCGCUUAUGGUACGUAAUAGAUUUAAUAUUGCUGUUUUAGUUGUCACCUACACCUUAAUUAAUAUAAUAUGGGUGCAUGUGAACUUACGAAAUCAACUAAAUGAAUAUACAUGGCUCUUUGUUUCUCGAGGGGUUUUAAUAAGUAACAACCCUUUAGGAAGUGUUAUCCUGAGAAGGUAUAUAUAUUCUUGUGCUUGAGGGGAUGCAGCUAUAUAUUUUAUGAAUAUACUAGUAUGGUAAUUCGUGCAAUAUGACGGGUAUAUAAUUAGAGAAAAAAUAAAAAACGAUGAUAAAGGGUGAGAUUUUUCUUGUCGAUGAAGAAAAUUGAAGGAAAAGGAAGAAGAACAGUUGGCUCAAUGCAGAGGUGUAACCUGGUUCGAUUCAAACUAAAAAAAAAGGAUGAUCUGAUUCGAUUCAAAUAAAGAAAGAGAGAAAUCAGAUUUAUUUGAAGCAAAGAAAGAGAAAAACAUAUAGAAGCAGACUUGAGCCGGUUCAGGAGAGCCCACAUUUAAUAAUAAUUAAUUCGGUUCAAGUAAAGAAAAAAAAAAUUCAGCCUGAUUCAAGCAAAGAAAGAAGAAAAUAUGUGGAGGAUCUGAACCGAUUUUAGUUAGAACUCACACUAAACAAUAAAGGACAUGUUGUCAUAUGGUAAAUUUAAGAGGAAUAAUAUAUAGGUAUAGAUAUUUUAUGCAUGCAUGCUAAUGGGUAAUGCUGCGCCCAAUGAAGGUGGUGGGCUUGUUGAUGAGGCUAAUUCGCAUAUUAUUCCCGCAGAAUAAUUCGAGUAUUCUAUCUGAAAGGUAGUGAAAGGGAAAAGAGAUUCAGGAAAGAAAUUUUUCCAUGAACCGCGUUCCCCAAUCAUGCAUGGACCACAAAAUGAUGGGUCUCUAACACUUUUAGAAGCUAGUUUAAACUCAUAAAUAACAGUAUAUAUUGACCACAUGUAAUGGUACAAUACAAAGAGCGUCCAAAUUGGCGUAGUUGUUGUUCCGCUAGAAAUUAAAUUUGAUGAGAGUGAUCAUAUAUUGGUCUUGCCAUCAAUUAUUAUAACGCCAAAGAGAUUCACUAUUUUGUUAAUUAUAGGCUAGCUUUUGAAUCCUUCUACUAAAGUUGACUUUCAUACCAAAUUAUUUAUUUUUGAGAAUUUAAGCUCAUGAAAAACUACGAGAUUUUCUCUCAAUGUCUUCAUGAUCGUGAGAAAUGACAAAAGCUAAUAUUUCUACUCUUAAAAAGUUAGAUUUACGGUUGAAUUAUAGCUUCCUUCUUAAAGAAUAAUGAAGAUGGGAUAGUGGAUAGACGAUCACUUCACUCAGUCCACGACUAAAAUGGUGAACUAGGUGUAAACAAUACGUACAUAAUUCUUUUCUCAAAAAAAAAUACGUACAUAAUUCCUCAAAUAAUGAAGGGCUAAAAAUAAGAGAUGAAUGCUUCAAUACAUCAGGUAAAAUAAAUCUAACCGUUCAUAUUUUAAGGGCGAGAUUGACUUUUGCAUAGUGAUUACAUGCUCAAUAGGUUACCAUUCGUAAAGAUAAUAUGAAAAAAAAAUACAAACUAAUUACCAAAUUUGAUCAACCUUAUACAAAUAUUUAUUUCCUUAUUUAAUUUUGUUACUUACCAAAUUAGAUAGUGCUAAUUUGAUAAGUAAUAAACCUUUAUAAUUUGAAUUUAAAAUUCAAUUUGAGCUUAAACUUUAUAAUUGUGUACAUUAAAUUUAAUUUUAAUUUUAAUUUUUAUUUUCAGAAUGAAAAAAUUUAUGUUUAAAUGAAUAGUAUAUUUCAAUUCAAAUUGUUAAUUUGAUAUAUUAAAAUGACACGAAAUUUCAAAUAUAUUAAUUUAAUUUAAAUUAUAAAUUAUGCUGUAUUUAUAANUUUAUAUUAUAGUUAAAAAAAUAAAAUUUGUUAACUAUUUAAACUAAAUGAUCCUAAAGCAAAAAAGAAAAAGAGGAGCGGCGAGAAAGAAGAAAUUGCGGCCUAUGUGUAGGAAAAUAUCGCGGUCCAUGAGGCUGCACUCAGCCUCGUGGACUGUGUGGAGUGGGAGGUCCACGGUGGACCUCUCGCUCCACUGCCCUUUUUGUGUGUGUGCGUUGUGUGUGUGUGUAUAUAUAUAUAUAUCCAAUUUUAUUUUUAGAUUUUAUAAGAAUUAUAAUUAUUUAUGCAUGAUAAUAGCAUAAAUCUAAAAAAAAUUUAAUUAAAUAAACGAAUUUUUAUUCCGAAUUUUUAAAUGAUAAACGUAAAAUUUUCGUAUAAAUCGCGUAUACGAAUUAUUGGCAAAUCUAAUUUUUAAACCGUAUUUUUCAACGAACUUAAAAAUUAAGAUACGAAUUUUAUUCGUAUUUUAUCCGUAUCGAAUUUUAGUCGUAUUCGAAUUAACUAACUAUGGUUUAAAGACAUGAGGUUUAAUUUAGAAAAGAUAAUACUACAAAGAUGGAAUAUUGGAGGAUAAGAAUGAAAGAGGUGGAAUAUUCUAAAUUUAUAAAAAUGGCAUGUUAUGAGGAUGAAAAUUUAUCAAAAUACCCUCAUUGCAAACUCUAUGUAAUAAAAAAAAAUUUUGCCCUUAUUUAAGUGGUGACCGGUACCUAUACCCCCAAGUGCCGAUCACCCUUUUUUAAUAGGUCUAUCGUUAAUUUGUUACCGUCCAUUUAAAAAACUUUAAUGAUUGAGAUUUGUUCGGUACACAGGAGCAUUGCUCAAAAUAAAAAAAGAUUAGGAGAGGAGCCAAUGGAAUCCUUAUCACAUAGGAUAUCGGUGGGCCAAUUGGGUCAGUUGUUGGGGUUUGCAUUACCGAAUAUCACAGCCAUUUUGUUUGUUGGCAAGUUUGACUGAAAAGUUUGGUAUCUUAUAUUUUUAACUAAUGGUGUUUUUUUUUUUUUUUUUUGAGAGAUAGAUAGCAUGCUAUCCGCUUUGUUUAAUUUAUUUAAAAAUAAAUUUAGCUGAAAAUGUGAAUCAAUUAGGAUUCGAACUUAAAAGUUCGGAUACCAACCACCAAGUCCUUUGCCACUUGCGCUAGGGACGGUCGGUUAACCAAUGGUGUCAUUAUGUGCGGUUUUUGGUGACCUUCAAUGCGACCGCAACCGCAAGGUCGGUUUCAGCGAACCCAUCUACUGGUCGGCAGCACCAAAUCGCACCAAAUUCUUUUUUGUUUCCCGGUCCAAGCUUAUACUGGUCAGGUUCAACCAGGGAAGGAACUAAUUAAUCAAAUACCAAAAUUAUGGGCCACGGUGCUUGUUUAGUUCAGCUUCUAACAAGCAUAAAAAUUUAAGAAUUUUGUUGUGGGAGGAAGUAAUAAAAAAAGAAUAAGACUCUGAGAUCCAUGAACAAAAGCAACAAACAAUCGAAUCUGUUGUAAAUCUAAGCCAUUAAAAAACUUUCGUAUAGAGUUUUUUCUCAUAGAACAACAGCGACACUUUAUUAAACAUACUAGGCAUAAUUUGAGAAGGAUGGUUAGAGAACUUGUGAUCACAGCUUCAUACAAACCUGUAAAUAAGUUGUGUUACGGCAUCUAAUUUUCCUUUCCACUUAAUUCCGAUUCUAUUCCUUGCAUGGUGCCAUUUUUGGUGCUCGAUAUGAUGUAUAAUAGAAAAUUUUGUAUCCUUUUAGUCAAAAAGAACCUAAUUUUUGUUGUCAGUGUGUAUGUUUGCAGUGUCAGGUCAUAAUCUAAGACAAAAGGGAAAAUCUAAAUAUAUCUGCCAUAUGCUGAUCGCCACGAGAGUGAUGUUUUAAGUGCUUAAUAAGAGAUUGUGAGCACUAUUAACAUGAUAAAACAAGUAAGAUACAAUUAAAAUAUUCAAAAAGUUCUAUUCCAAUUUAAUUCCGUGUAUAUAUUUUUGUAGUAGUUUAUCUUUGUUCAGCUUAUGCAGAUUCCUAAUUCGAGAGUUUUAGCAUUUGUGAGUAAAGGAAUACUCUUGCUUGAAGUCACCAAAGUCCUUGGUGUCAAAUUCCACUAGUUCAAAACAUUUUAAAGUUCAAAAUUGCAUUAUCAGAGACCACCAAUAUAAAAUGCACAUCAGUUUCCCACAAAGCUCAAAGAGUUAUGCCCCCCAAAAUGAACAAGGACAACUUAGCCGAGUAGAUCGAGAUGGAGAUGGGAAAGUUUUUGUCAUCUUUUUUGGUUAAAAAACUUUGGUUUUUUCUUUUUCUGGAUUUUUUUUUUUUGUUUGUUUUUUGGAAGAAAAAGGUUGCAUACAACUCAGUUAAAAAUGUGAAAUAGUUAGGCUUUGAAUUUGAGAUUUUGAGUAUCAAUCAUCAAGCUUUUAGCCAGCUGCGUUAAGUGAGAUCGCCGGUCGACAAAAAUUCGGCUUAAUUAUUAGGGUUAAAAAGUUUCGCUACUAAGAAAAACCAUUCAUCGCCUACACCAUAACAUGAAAAUUCCAACUAUAACGCUUCUACUAAAAGCAAGAAAGAGCAAUAUUAAAAGUUUUUUUUUUUUUUUUUUUUUUGGCUAUCUAUGGUGAAGGAAAAUGGAGCACUACUUCCACUAUAACAUGGAAUUCCAUUCGGAAGUGCUAAUAAUGCAGAUAUUUUACUGUAAUAAUAAAACCCACUUCUUUUGGGUCUGUGAGCAUGCCCCAAAUCCCAAAAGUGAAAUGCUUUAUUUUUCUCAACUUUUGAUUGCUCCAAAAAAGUAAAAGACAAAAAAAAAACAGAGGAAUGCCUAUCUAUCUAUACACGCAUAAACCAGCUUUACAUUUUGCAUCUUUAUUUAAAUUGUAAGAGUGUAAAAUUUAUAUCUAUAUAUAAAUAUAAAAGCAGUAUUCUUUAAUUUCUUAUCCGGCCCGGCCUGUUUGUAGUCCUAGCCCAUUUGGCCCAGUCUGGAUUUGACCGGAUUGGGAGAAAUGCAUAAUGAAAUAGGCCGGACCUACUGGGGCGAAGGUGCGAGAUUAGCACUAGCAAUUUAUUGAGCCCAAAUCACCAGCUCGAAGCUACUACUAGCAUACUUUAGUCUUUAUUAUAUAAUAAUAAUAACAAUAACUCGGCUUCUAAGUUAAUUGUUCAAAAACAAUAUUUGGUAUUGAAAUUUGGCUAUUGUAACUCACAAGGAAUUCAAAUUUACCGAGACAAAAUACGUGAGCAGUUGCAUUGUUACCAUGAGAAUGAUAGUUUAUUACUGUUUUAGCAUGUAUUAUAUGACAAUUCUACGGGUGAGUAACUGAGUACAUGCCUGGAGCUGUGGAGCAGCAGCUGAUAUGCUUUCUUUUUCCCCUUUCCUUAACAGCUAACCCCAAUUAAGUUCUGUACUUUCUGUGCCGUCCUUCUCUCGCCUCCCCCUCGAAGUUUUCCAGAAAUUUCACACUGCGGCCAUCUUCUUUUAGAAAGAUUCUUGCAGUCCUCCCCUGCAGCUCAAAAGUUAUGUAGACUGGAAAAUAAAACAAAGAAGAUCGAACCCACAAAAAAAAAAAAGAAAAAAAAAUGGGGUCUCUCCUGGGCGACUGGCCUUCCUACGACCCUCACAACUUCAGCCAACUCCGCCCCGCCGAUCCCUCCGCUCAACCCUCCGUAAGAAUUUAGAAUGUUGUCUCUGCAUCUUCUUUUUCACAUUCAAAAACCCUUUUCUUUUUUUUCUUUUCUUUUUUUUUUUGCUUUUUUGGCUUUUUAAUUCUUCUCCCUUUCAGAACCCAUCUCUUCGACUUCUAGAUAAUUCUGAUAUGCAGGUCCUGCUGAAAAGCAAGAUACAAAUUUCGUAAGCAAUAGAGCAGAUUAAAUGUGGCAGAUAGCUUUAGGAUCUGUUCAGAAGCUGCAAAAUAAAAUGUGAUUUUUGUUGUUGUUGUUGUUGUUGUUGAUGUUGAAUUUAGGGGCUACAGAAAUGGAGCAAUUCCUGGUCACUAGUUGUUGGUUAAUAUGAUUUCUUGUUCUUAAAGGGGAGGAAAUAAUAUGGAGUGCUUCUGUUAACAUCUCAUUAGUGGCAAAAAACCUGAAGGAGUUUUCCUUUUGUUCGGUCCUGAAACAAAUUUGUUGCUUCUUUUCAGAAACUGACACCUGCAACGUAUCAUCCCACUCACAACCGGACUCUUCCGCCUCCGAAUCAAGGUACUGCUGCAUGAUCUAAAUGCCACUUCUGUGUGAUGGUCGGUUGCGCCAGGUUUCGCUACUGAGGCGUGCUUCGGUAGUUUUCUUUCACGGAGAUCGUAUUUGUAAGAUCUAGGAUGAAAUGUAUUCCACGGGAAAUGCGUUAUAUUGGUCGGUUGGCCUACUCGCAAAUAGAUUAAUCUAGUAUUCUAAACAAUUUUCAUAGGUGAAUGUUUGUUGUUAAUGUUGGGAGUGUACUUACUUAAGGAGUAUGAGUAAAUUAGUUCACAGCUAUAGCAUUUGUUUUAGCAAGAAUAACUAGACAAAGUGCUAUCCAAGUAUCGAGAACAAUACUCUUUAACUUUUGAAAUUUU
RNAcentral lists this long non-coding RNA (83849 nucleotides) under Ananas comosus (pineapple). Its description in RNAcentral is "long non-coding RNA (ACOM_LNC006179)". Lineage: Eukaryota; Viridiplantae; Streptophyta; Magnoliopsida; Poales; Bromeliaceae. The record is from RNAcentral.